Molecule: long non-coding RNA, 58799 nt
Filed under: Triticum aestivum (bread wheat)
Lineage: Eukaryota; Viridiplantae; Streptophyta; Magnoliopsida; Poales; Poaceae
Description: long non-coding RNA (TAES_LNC009329)
Source: RNAcentral
GUUUAGUAGCUUCUCCUAAUGUGAUUUCCAUAAAAGUGCCUCGUGUGGCCGAAUCUAAAAGAUUUCUAGAAGCAGAAUUCAAUCCGACAUAAUUUUUUUGUAUGAUCAUCCAUGAACUUAAACCAUGAGUAGCGCAAUUUCGUAUCAUCAAUUUCAUCCUCUCCCAAGAUUGUGCAACAUUUUCAUGAUCAAGUUGCUUAAAAUUAAUUAUAUCGUGCCUAAGGGAGAUGAUCUUAGCGGGAGGAAAAUACUUGGAAAUAAAAGCAUCUUUACACUUAUUCCAUGAAUCAAUACUAUUUUUAGGCAAAGGUGAAAACCAAGUUUUAGCACGAUCUCGUAGUGAGAACGGAAAUAGCUUCAAUUUAACAAUAUCAUUAUCCACAUCUUUCUUCUUUUGCAUAUCACACAACUCAAUGAAAGUAUUUAGAUGGGAUGCGGCAUCUUCGCUAGGAAGGCCGGAAAAUUGAUCUUUCAUAACAAGAUUCAACAAAGAAGCAUUGAUUUCAUAAGAUUCCGCACUAGUGGCGGGAGCAAUCGGAGUACUAAUAAAAUCAUUAUUAUUAGUAUUGGAAAAAUCACACAAUUUGGUAUUAUCUUGAGACAUCGUGACAACAUAAGCAAUCUAACACAUGAGCAACCAAAAAGCAAACGAAAAGCAAAUGAAAAGACGAACAGAAGAAGGGCGAAUAAAAAGGCAAUUUUUUUGUAUUUUUCUGAAUACGUUUUAGAAGUGGGGGAGAGGAAAACGAGAGGCAAAUGGAAAAUGCAAGAUAUGAGAGUUUAUGAUGGGUACUUUGUAGGCUUGAUGUGGAUCUCCCCAGCAACGGCGCCAGAAAUUCUUACUGCUACUUCCCGACCUUGCGUUGGUUUUUCCUUUGAAGAGGAAAGGGUGAUGCAGCAAAGUAGAGAUAAGUAUUUCCCUCAGUUGAGAACCAAGGUAUCAAUCCAGUAGGGGAUACAAGCAAGUCUCCAAUCUAUGCACUUGCACAAACAAUCAAACACUUGCACCCAAUGCGACAAAGGGGUUGUCAAUCCCUUCACGGUCACUUGCAAUGGUGAGAUCUGAUGGAGAUAGAUGUAAAAGAUUACUAAAACGUAAAACAAAAUAAAAGUAAAUAAAUUGCAGCAAGGUAUUUUUGGGUUUUUGGUUUAUAGAUCUGAAAACAUAUGAUGAAAUAUAGACCCGGGGCCAUAGGUUUCACUAGAGGCUUCUCUCUUGAAGGAAAAUAAUACGGUGGGUGAACAAAUUACUGUCUAGCAAUUGAUAGAAAAGUGCAAAAUUAUGACGAUAUCCAAGGCAAUGAUUAUGCAUAUAGGCAUCACGUCUGUGUCAAGUAAACCGACUCCUGCCUGCAUCUACUACUAUUACUCACACAUCGACCGCUAUCCAGCAUGCAUCUAGAGUAUUAAGUUCAUAAAGAAUGGAGUAACGCCUUAAGUAAGAUGACAUGAUGUAGAGGGAUAAACUCAAGCAAUAUGAUGAAAACCCCAUCUUUUUACACUAGAUGGCAACAAUAGAAUACGUGUCUCGCUACCCCUACUUUGUCACUGGGUGAAAUCACGCAAGAUUGAACCCAAAACUAAGCACCUCUCCCAUUGCAAGAAAAACCAAUCUAGUUGGCCAAAAAAACCGAUAAUUCGAAGAGAAAUACAAAGAUAUCAAACCAUGCAUAUAAGAAUUCAGAGAAGAUUCAAAUAAUAUUCAUAGGUAAGCUAAUCGUAAAUCCACAAUUCAUCGGAUCUCGACAAACACACCGCAAAAGAAGAUUACAUCGGAUAGAUCUCCAAGAACAUCGGGGAGAACAUUGUAUUGAAGAUCAAAGAGAGAGAAGAAGCCAUCUAGCUACUAGCUAUGGAACCGUAGGUCGGUAAACUACUCACGCUCCAUUGGAAGGGCAAUAGAGUUGAUGUAGAUGCCCUCCGUGAGCGAAUCCCCCUCCGGCAGGGUGCCGGAAAAGGCCCCAAGAUGGGAUCUCACGGGAACAGAAGGUUACGGCAGCGGAAAAGUAUUUUGGUGGAUGCUUCUGGUGCUUUUGGAAUAUUUGAGGAUUUAUAGAGUUGAGAGGGAGGUCGGUGGACUCCCGUGGGGCCCACAAGUGAGGGCCCCCCUAGGGCGCACCCUGAGGGCUUGUGGAGCCCUCGGGAUUCUUCUGACUUGGCCUCCAAGUUCCGUGGAUGUCUUCUGGUCCAAGAAAAAUCCGUAAAGUUUUAUUCUAUUUGGACUCCGUUUGAUAAUCCUUUUCUGUAAAACUCAAAAACAAGGAAAAACAGAAACUGGCACUGGGCUCUAGGUUUAGGUUAGUCCCAAAAAUAAUAUAAAAUAGCAUAUUAAUGCAUAUAAAACAUCCAAAACAGAUAAUAUAAUAGCAUGGAACAAUCAAAAAUUAUAGAUACGUUGGAGACGUAUCACACGCGUCCUGCAUCAAGAAUCAUUUGUCCAACCGAAUGCCCUAUCCGUCGUGCGUGGUUGCCUCGAUAAUUAAGAUUAUAAUAAUCAGACAAGAGCUUUGGGCGUUUAAUGACUACACCUCUUGAAUCCCCAGAGAUUGGCUUAACCCUUCUGUCACCGAUGUUCAGAAUAACACUUCACGGUCUACCUGCCCUUAGACUCUCCUUGGCCCACUCUCCAUGAUCCUGGGUACCUGCAGGGAUGUGGAACACAGACGAGACAAGAGACAUCUACGGAACAAUUUUAUUUCGCACAAACGGGAUGUUAAUUCAAAGCACCUACAUUGAUCCCCACAACAAAUGCAGAGGGUUGCAAGGCCUUUUCCUCAACCCAUACCUUACCGAACUACUUACACAUGGAGAUCAGAUCACACGAAUAACGCAUUGAAGAACACAUCACGGAGAUUGAUUGAUUGAUAAUAUUUCUUACAAUGGAUGUCGUGUGCGAUGCACGAUUACAAGUGUGAUCUAGAGGAAUAUGAACUAUGGUGGUGAUGGUGGCUAUGGAGACGGGAAUGGUGGCGGCCAGGGUUGAUGAAGAGGGAUGAAGAUAUCUCUGUUCUGGCUUUGCUCUGGAUGUUCUGUUUUUUCGAGAUGAAGAGGGAAUGGUGCUCUGGAUGUUUUUUUUGAGACGGUCAAAGCCCUUUGACCAGACGGUAACGGCGCAAAAGGGCAUUUUUGUAAGGGCACCUAACGACAGAGGGGCAAAUUUGAGCAGGCUUUGAAAUUAGGGGCAAACCUGAGUAGGUGGUUCGAGUUAGGGACAUAAAUGCAAACGGCCCAAAAAUAAAAUAGGAAAAAGAAAAGAAAACAAAAAAGCAUAGAAAACGGGAAGAAAAAUGGAAACAAAAAUAAAAAACCUACUGAGACCUUCUAGAACCAUAACCUUCUGUGAUAAAGGAAGUGCAGUACGUAGUAUGCCCUGUAUGGGCUAGCCCGUUACAAAGGUGGUGUGAGUAUCAUGUAUGAAAAUGCCAUGUAAGAGUAUCUACAGCCGGACUUGGCAAAUCCGGCCCCUCAAACACCCGCGGACGGGCCUAGGCACGCCCGCGGACGCAUUCAGACAGGCCCUUAUAUUUCGUUCCGGCAUCCACAUAUCUCAAAUCCGGACUCUCAAAUCCAUGCAAAUACAUGCACAUCGAUCAUGCAACAGAAUGUCUCACGUAAAUAGCUAUUGUUCUAUCAAGCAUGCAUAGCGUUUACAAUAAUUCCGGCCGGUCAAUGUGUCGAACACAUCAAGCGCAAGGCGGAUCCGGAGAGUUGCCGGACGUACCACGGUGGCAUCUGGGCCGGCGACGACGUCCCCGCGGCGAGGACGGGAGCGCUCUUCCGGACUUACUGGCGGAGAGCCUGGGAAUGGCUGUGGAGCAGGCGGAGCUGCGAGCCGGACGACACGGAGGAGGAAGAAGAGAGGAGAGAGCAAAUGGAUCCGGCAGCUCGCGGGGUGGAUUUGGUGCAAUUUGGGGUGGGGUUGGGCUGUCGGGUUGGACGUGAUGGGCGUGCCCAGACGCCCCAUAUCCGCCCCAUAUUUGGGCUGGAUAUGGGGGUGCUGGUCAGCCCGGGCCUUGAAAGCAAUCAUGUGGCCUGAGGGCCAAACGGCUGUUGCGGCCUUGAAAGCAAUCAUGUGGCCUGAGCGCCAAACGGCUGUUGCGGCCUUGAAAGCAAUCAUGUGGCCGAGCGCCAAACGGCUGUUGCGGCCUUGAAAGCAAUCAUGUGGCCUAAGCGCCGAAUGGCUGUUGCGACCUUGAAAGCAAACAUGAGGCUUGUGAGCCAACGGCUAUUGCAGCCUUAAAAGCAAAUAUGCGACCUAUGAGCCAACUUUUUUUGGUCAUGCCUUGAAAGCUGGCCUAACGAAUAUUUGAGAUUUGCAUAUUUUCUGUUUUGGUUUUCAAAUGUUUUUAUGCCACAGGUACGCAUCGGUGCUAUACAAACGGUUUUUAACCCCUUUCCGGGACGGCGUUCGGAACCGUCACCUAGUGAGUGUGGGCGAUAGGGGGGUCCUUCCCACAUGACCCAGAAACCGUCGAGGGUAUGCCCUCCUGGCACACACGCUCGGCAAAAUAAGGUCGUGUGCGACCGGCGAGCACUCAAAUACAGAAAUACAUACAGUAGUGCUAAAAAAUACAAUUAUACAGGCGAAAUCAUUUCCGGUCUUAAGUACAUCCCACACAGUUAGUCACCGCUAAACGUUUCCGUUCGUAUAUACAUCCCACACAGUCACUCCAAGGAAAACGUUUGCGCAAGGUGGCGUAACGCAAACAGUUUUCAACAGAAUGUCGUGUGUGAUUGUUCAUUGAUCCAACAUGGUUUAUUCCUAGAAACUGUGUGUGUUGCCUGAGGUCAUCGACCACGGUGUUUUCUUAAUAACCGUUUGCAAUAGGAAAACCGAAUUAGCGGGCUAAUUGCCUUAUUAUUAAUAACCCAUUUACUAAUCUAAUUGACAUUCAUAUUAAGCACAUAAUAUAUUCCAUUUCCAUAUUAAGGAAGCAGGAUUUCAUAAUUGAAAUACAUCGGAGUACAACAUGAUAGAGCUUCAGCACUCAGCUAGCCCAUUACACAACUGCACUAGUAGCAAGUUUCACAUGCAACAUCUAGAACCUUUCAAAAUUAGCAUCAUAGACGGUACAUAGAGAGAUGCAUCUCAUCUGGAAAACUGCUGAAGCAGAAGGCGAAUAUUGAGCCUUCAUUCAUGUUGAAGGUCUUUGCAACUUUAGGCCAGUGCCUGUGGAUGAUUGACCGUCCAUCCUUCGACCUCUUCAGGAACACUUCAAUAUUGAACCAUGGGUGUUGUAUGAAAACUUUCCUCGCCUCCUGACCACAGAGGUGGUUUGAGAGGUAAUCAUCAGUGAAGCCUGAAAACAAGGAUGUGCAUAAAUAUCUUCUCUAUAUUAGAAAUGGGGCAAAGGAAUAAAAAAGGCAAGGUAUAAUAGUUAGUACCAUCUUUUAAACCUUAGUGCUUCCCAUUGUUUCCCUGCAACACAUAUAAGGUAGUUAGUCAUCAGGUUAAGCAAGGGUUCGCAUGCUAUCAGUAAAAUAUGUUGAUGAUAAAUAAGCACAUUGCAAAUUCAUCAGAUUAGUUCAAGCCACAUGGAAAACCCAUUUAUCCAAACCAAGCAUGAUUAAGAACUAGGAAAUAUAGCACUUGUAUAUGUUUCUCAUGUAUUAAGUGCAGCCAAAUUCGAUUUAUUCCUCGCAUGGUAUACAAUAACAGAAUGCAGCCACAACAAUUGAACAUCGCAUUGCAGAAUUGAACCAAGCAGUUAACUAAACACCACAACAAAUGAACCAAACGUUAACUGAGCACCACAUUGCACAAUAUAACAUACUCCUAAUAGAAGAUCAGACAGUUAACCAAACCAAGCAUGCUUAACAACUUGGAAAUAUUGCACCCUGAAGAAUUGAACAUCACAUUUGCAGAAUUGAACCAAGUAGUUAACUGAACACCACAUUGCACGACAUAUAGAACAUAUACACUAUAGCAGAAGAUUGCAUGGUAAAAGUAGAUAGCACAAUUCACUAGAAUUUUUUAAGGAAAGGCAUUGGCUAGCAAACUGAACAUGGGUCCUUAUAGUGAGCUAAUAAGACAAGCUACUCCUCAAUGUUGGAGAUAUCGAUGACGAUUGGCUCCUUGGACAUGGAAGAGGGCGAGGCCUCCGCAUCGUGGGUGCCCUCGUUGUAGCGGUGAGUUGCCUGAGCCGCUCCGGGCACCAACCUGCUGGCUCUCGAGAUGAGGUAAGCACGUGCACGCUGCGAAAACACCUCGUAGUCUUUGUCAAAGGCACCGACGGUGGCCUCGAGAAAACACCACGAACUAUUGUUUAAAGCAGCCAACCGCGUCGCGGCGUUGGUGCGCGAGGCGUCAAUGGUGGCCUCGAUGGCGAGGUGCUCCUCCAAGAUCUGGGGGUCGGCACGAAUGGCAGCCAUCGCAACCUCAUCCGCGCGUGCGGCCGCGAUUUGCUUCUCCGCUGCCAGAUGCUCCCUGAGAUCCUGGCUAUACUACGUGCACCAUGGCUUAGGCCAGCGCUUAUUUGGUGGAGGGGUUGGUGAUUUGGGUGGAAGGUGUUGCGCUCGCGCCGGCGGUCGGGGCAUGUGGGAUGUGGAAGGAGGAGGAGGAUGGGGGUCGGGUGUGGAAUACCUGCCUGGAUAGGCGAGGCUGAGCAGCGUGAAGGAGGGUCGCCGGCGAGGAGGCGAUGCUGCAAGCAAGGAGUGAAGGUUUCAACUUGGAAAGGAAGGCGGAAACAGGGGAAAUGUGGCUUUUGGUAAGGAGGAGGGGGCGGGCAGGUAGAUAUUUCCGCGGAAGCCGAAAAUUUGGAAUCGCUUCAGCGAAAAAACUGGCGCGCAAAGUGUCAUCAGACACGGUCCCUUAUUCAGAGCGGGCUGUGGACUGUAGCCGUCGCACCUUCUCGCGUAAGCCGUAUGCGUACUAUACUCCGAUGAUGCUCCAAGAUAUUUUGUGCUGCAUCUCACACGGUUGGUUAUAAUAAACUAUGUGGGAUCUACUUGAUUUUUCGUCUUGAUUUGAAUUACAUAAUGGGGUCACAGCGGCCAUGCACGGUGUUUGAAUUGCUAGACCUUUUAUCUGUAGUGAACAUGCAACUAUAUAUGUGUCAUAAAAGAAUUGUAAUUAUUCAGGGUUUGUUUGGACAUUUUUACGCAUUAACUGAGUUUUCAAUGCAUUUAUGUGCAUAUUUCAAAUUUGAACUACAUGCACAUGCUCUAAUGCAUAUAAAUUGGUUGAAGAUUCAAAUAUGUGUCCUUGGGUGCAUGCUUAGGUCCCAUGUAAGAAAUUGGAAUGAAUUUCAAACACCAGGGCGACGUUGAUUGCCGGCAAAACAUUGAGAUACUUUGUUUUUAAAUUCUAGUAAAUCCAAAACUCGUCUGAAAUUCAUGAAACUUGGCAUGCUUUCAUGGAAUGGCAUCAACAUGCCAUGGUAAUUUUUUUGUCCCAUUGGGGGCAGGUUUGGAUAUAUGCUUCUCACAAACCAGAGCUUCUCACAAACUAGAGCUUCUCACAAACCAGAGCUUCUCACAAUAAGCAUGAUGGUUUCGGUAGGGAACGCCCCACCUUUGGGGAUGAAACGAUAUCCAUUGCCUCUUAUUGGUUUCAAAUUUUUUUCUUGUGUCAACAUAGAACAGCAGGAGUGUUGUGUUAUUUUUUGUGAUUUUUUCGGGGUUCAUUUGGACAUUUUUAUGCAUUAAGUGAGUUUUCAAUGCAUUUAUGUGCAUAAUUCAAAUUUGAACUACAUGCACAUGCUCCAGUGCAUAUAAAUUGGUUGAAAAAUCAAAUCUUUGUCCUUGGGUGCAUGCUUAGGUCCCAUGCAAGAAAUGGGAAUGAAUGUCAAACACCCUGCCACCGUCACUCGGCAGCAAACAUUGAGAUACCUGGUUUUUAAAUUCUAGUAAAUCCAAAACUCGUCUGAAAUUCAUGAAACUUGGCAUGCUAUCAUGGAGUGGCAUCAACAUGUCGUGGUAAUUUUUUGUCCCAUUUGGGGCAGGUUUGGGUAUAUGCUUAUCACAAACCAGAGCUUCUCACAACAAGCAUGAUGGUUUCGGUAGGGAACGCCCCACCUUUGGAGACGAAACGAUAUCCAUUGCCUCUUAUUGCUUUCAAAAAAUUUCUCGUGUCAACAUAGAACAACAGGAGUGUUGUGUUAUUUUUUGUGAUUUUUCGGGGUUCGUUUGGACAUUUUUAUGCAUUAACCGAGUUCUCAAUGUGUGCAUAAUUCAAAUUUGAACUACAUGCAAUGCUCCAGUGCAUAUAAAUUGGUUGAAAAAUCUAAUCUUUGUCCUUGGGUGCAUGCUUAGGUCCAAUGCAAAAAAUGGGAAUGAAUUUCAAACACCAGGGCACCGUUGAUUGCCGGCAAAACAUUGAGAUACUUUGUUUUUAAAUUCUAGUAAAUCCAAAAAUCAUCUGAAAUUCAUGAAACUUCGCAUGCUAUAAUGGAAUGGCACCUGACAUGCUGUGUUAUUUUUCGUGUCCAUUUUGAGAGAAGGCGCACUCGAAUAACAGCCAACAAAGGCAUUUUGAAAAAAUAGCUGCCACUUAAAUAUCUCAAACGUUUGUAUAAUUCAAACCAUGUGCGUUAUGUUAACCAUUCACGUGACGCCACGUGUCUUGGUUUUAAUGGCUUAAUGGCUCUUGAUCGCAAACGUUUUAGAUAGAACACCCAUAUGCAAAGUGAGAGCAGGAUUUGUGCAUCACUUGAACACAAACGGUUCUUUUGGAUGACCCAUGUGAACCACUUACAAACAUUUUGGUGCGAUUUGCAUCUGUCAUAUUGGGUAUGUUGCCAUUUGUCAAACUAUAAAGAUUGACAUUUGUUGAUCUAGUAACAUUGCCAUUUGCCAACCUUGUAACACUGCGAUUUGUCAAAAUAUGAAGCUAAAAAUCACUAGUAGUAUCUAAUUUUUGCAACUAAAAUUCAGUAAUUAAGCAUAGAUGGAAGCGAGGAGGCGUGUUCAGCCGGGCGUGCAGCGGGCAGCGCAGUACUAUUUGAUUGGACAGCGGGCAGCGCAGUUCCCGAUACGGCUUUAAUGCAGACGAGGGAGAGGGUAGCAGUUCCCGAAAUGUUGCGGCCAAUGAUGCAUCCUCCUUCAAUUAGCAUCGUGUGAAUGCAUGAGGUAAGUAAUGGGAGGAGGACCAGGAAAAGAGGCAGCACGAUGUGAAUGAAACGCAGUUUGCACUCAUAUAAAGGCGCCCCUCCAUUCCAAUGCAUCUACCACAUCGUACACACCUAAGCAUUUGCCUAAGCACCUACACUAAUAAGCGCAAAAGUGCUCACUCCAGACCCAUGGCAGCGAUGCGCGCGAGCGGCCAGCGGCUGUGCCAGAUGGUCCACGACGCCGGCCUGCGGCAUGGCACCGUGGAUCGUCUCCACACGGUGUUGGCGACCGGCUGGUCGAUGGCCGCCGUCGACGCCAGCUACGACUCUCAGUACGACUAGAUGAUCGUUCGCACCACCAACAGGUUCACCGUCGUCAAGAAGCUCAUGGACGACAUCGCCGUACUCCUCUAGCCCACGCGCCCGGGCUCCUCAUUGCCUGCCACGCUAAUCGGCCUCCAUGGUCGGAACCUCUUUCAAGCACUGGUGGCCCUGUGACUGCCUGCCGACGCCAAGAAUGUCCACCUGGAGGUCGCGCUCGCCGCGAGGCGCCUCACCCUGCAAGAAACCAUAGACCUACACAUCUAUGUGUACGAGCAAAUCGUGUACAUAGGUAUCUACAAGGUCAGUGAGGACGCUACAACGUUGGCCUUCUUCAACCGGCUGGAAGCCUUGGAUGCUUUAGUGUAGGAUCGAAAGUAUGUCUAGAGGGGGGGUGAUUAGACUACUUGACCAAAUAAAAAUCUAGCCUUUUCCCAAUUUUAAGUCUUGGCAGAUUUUAGCAACUUAGCACAACUCAAGUAAUCAACCUACACAUGCAAUUCUAAGAGUAUAGCAGCGGAAUGUAAAACAAUUGCAUAUGAAGGUAAAGGGAGGAGUUUGAGGGAGCAAAUGCAAUGUUGACACGGAGAUUUUUUAUCCGUGGUUCCGAUAGGUGGUGCUAUCGUACAUCCAUGUUGAUGGAGACUUCAACCCACGAAGGGUAAUGGUUGCGCGAGUCCACGGAGGGCUCCACCCACGAAGGGUCCACUAAGAAGCAACCUUGUCUAUCCCACCAUGGCCGUCGCCCACGAAGGACUUGCCUCACUCGGGUAGAUCUUCACAAAGUAGGCGAUCUCCUUGCCCUUACAAACUCCUUGGUUCAACUCCACAAUCUUGACGGAGGCUCCCAAGUGACACCUAGCCAAUCUAGGAGACACCACUCUCCAAGAGGUAAUAGAUGGUGUGUUGAUGAUGAACUCCUUGCUCUUGUGCUUCAAAUGAUAGUCUCCCCAACACUCAACUCUCUCACAUAGGAUUGGAUUUGGUGGAAAGAUGAUUUGAGUGGAAAGCAACUUGGGGAAGACUAGAGAUCAAGAUUUAUGUGGUUGGAAUGGAAUAUCUUGACCUCAACACAAGUGUAGGUGGUUCUCUUUCAGAAAAUGUAUGUUGGAAGUGUAGGCAUGUUCUGAUGGCUCUCUCCACGAAUGAAGAGUGGGUGGAGGGGUAUAUAUAGCCUCCACACAAAAUCUAACCGUUACACACAAUUUACCAAACUCGGUGGGACCGAUUCAAAGAACUCAGUCAGACCGAUUUAGUUCAAAAUGUGAACGUUAGGAUUUUCGGUGGGACCGAUUUCGUUAGGGUUAGGGCAUAACGUAAUCUUGGUGAGACCGAUUACACAAACUCGGUGAGACCGAUUUUGGUAAUAGACUAACCAGAGUUGGUCAGGCAAACUCGGUGGGACCUAUUCGCACAUCUCGGUUGGACCGAAACGUUACGAAAGGGAAACAGAGAGUUUGCAUUGCAAUCUCGGUGGGACCGAUCGCUCAUCACAGUUUGAACGAAACGUUAUGAAGGGAAACAAAGAUAUUACAAUCCCAUCUCGGUGAGACCGAGAUCCCUAUCGGUGAGACCAAAAAGACUAGGGUUUGUGGCAGUGGCUAUGUCAAGUGAACUCGAUGGCCCCGGAUAGAUCAAAUCGGUGGGGCCGAGUUUGACUUUUGGUUCGGGACAUAUGUGGAUAUGAGAAAGUAGCUGAGGGCUUUGGAGCAUAUCACUAAGCAUUUUGAGCAAGAAACUCAUUAAUCAACACCUCACCCCUUCUUAAUAGUAUUGUCUUUUCCUAUGGACUCAAUGUGAUCUUGGAUCACUAAAAUGAAAAAUGUAGAGUCUUGUGCUUUGAGCUUGAGCCAAUCCUUUUGUCCUUAGCAUUUUAAGGGGUCCACUUUCUUAACCCAUGCCAUGCCAAUCAUUGAGCUUUCCUGAAAUAUUUAUCUUGAAAUAGCAUUAGCUCAAUGAGCUAUAUGUUGUUAGGAAUUACCAAAACCACCCAGGGAUAGUUGCACUUUCAAUCUCCCCCUUUUUGGUAAUUGAUGACAACAUAUAGAUCAAAGCUUCGACAAAUGAUAAUAAGAUUGAAGUACAUCUUCGCUUUGACAAGUAUGUGAUAAGCAAGAGCUCCCCCUAAAUUUGUGCAUUAUUUAAGAUUUGCUUUUGAAUGCAAAUGCACAAUCGAUUAGGAUCAUGGGUUACUCUUCCAUGUCACAUACAUCUUGGUGGAGCGCCCAAAAUGAUAGAAAUUAAAAGCAUGCACUCAUCACCAAGCAAGUGAAUGAUCAUAUAUGAGAUAUGAGAGAUAGUAUCAUCCAAACAAGCAUUAAGGGUAGCAUAUGAUCAAACACAUGAUCAAACAAGUAUCUCACAAGGACAUAAAGUAUCUCACACAAGCACACAAUCAAGAAGUUCAACCAAAAUAGCAAGAGAGAUAAAAAAAGCAACACUCUCUCUCGAAGCCUAUGAUCUAUACAUUUUUCUCCCCCUUUGGCAACAAGUUACCAAAAAGUUCAAAAAUGCAUAGUGCUAAACGUCUCUCAGGCUUGACCUUCGGGAGGUGGUGUAGAUAGAACUCCAAGGACGAAGGCAUCUGUUGAAGUAGUUGGAGCUGGUGGAGUGGCUGCUGUAGGUGGCACUGGAGCUGUAGCUCUAGAAUCUCUCACUGGCACUGCAGCAGACCUUUGUCCUCUAGGCACUCGCUCAAAAGCAUCAGUAGUUGCCUUGCCCUUCUUCUCCUCUGCUUCCUCCUGAUGCUGCUCAACUGCUGUCUGAAUCUCAGUUACCUUGACAUCAAGAUCAUAGAAUUUCUGCUCAAUGAUCCUCUCCAAGCUCUCCUGGUUUUGAGUCAGGGUGGCCAAGCCCUUCUCAAUCCUCAGUGUAGACUGGAUCAGAUAUGCAAGCUGGUCUUGCUUGCUCUUCAAGAACACUUGAUAUGCCUCUUCAGCAGUUGGCAUCUUUGCAGCUUUCUCUGCCCUUGCCUUCUCUCUCUUCUCAUGUGCUUGCACUGAAGAUGGAUCUUCCUCAGUCAUGACAACAAUGUUGUCCUCAAAGUCUGGCCUGAGUGGUAAAUUCUCUUUGUCCAAUAGAUAUUUGCCUAUGCCCAUCUUGGAGUUGAUGAGCUCCUGAAUUUGUGGAGCAUACCCACAAGAUCUCUUCUGAUCUACAGCUGUCCUUUUGAUUGUUUCCACAAUCAGACUCAUCACAUUGAACUUUUGAGGAACAUUAAAUAUAUGCAGCAAGUUGAUGGAGUGGCCUCUGAUCAUCCUGUGAUCACCUGACUUUGGUAGCAAUGUGUGCCUUAGGAUCCAAUUGAUUGUAGGCAGACCUGACAACAAGUGCUUUACAGAACCAAACUUGUGUGUCUCAAGGUCUGCAUCAGGAAUCUCCUUGUACAUGUGUGCCAUAGAGUUGUGAUCCUUCUUCUUCUUGGCAUAGACAUCCAAAUCAUCUUCAUGAGCUUCUGGAGCAUUGAUCAAACUGGCCCACUCAUCAACUGUAGAUUGGUACCUUGUACCCUCUGACAUCCAUACAAUCCUUCCAUCUGGAUAGAAAUGAGCAGUCGAAUAGAAUUGCAUGAUCAACUCAUCAUUCCACUUGGUGAGCUUUUGGCCAACAAACUUGUCAACCUCACAAGAUUUGAAGCUGUCAUAAACUCCUGGAAAAUGAUCUUCAUUUUCUUUGAUGUACUCUGAUGUCUACUACGCAACCUUCUUCUUGUAGACGUUGUUGGGCCUCCAAGUGCAGAGGUUUGUAGGACAGUAGCAAAUUUCCCUCAAGUGGAUGACCUAAGGUUUAUCAAUCCGUGGAAGGCGUAGGAUGAAGAUGGUCUCUCUCAAGCAACCCUGCAACCAAAUAACAAAGAGUCUCUUGUGUCCCCAACACACCCAAUACAAUGGUAAAUUGUAUAGGUGCACUAGUUCGGCAAAGAGAUGGUGAUACAAGUGCAAUAUGGAUGGUAGAUAUAGGUUUUGUAAUCUGAAAUUAUAAAAACAGCAAGGUAACUAAUGAUAAAAGUGAGCGUAAACGGUAUUGCAAUGCUAGGAAACAAGGCCUAGGGUUCAUACUUUCACUAGUGCAAGUUCUCUCAACAAUAAUAACAUAAUUGGAUCAUAUAACUAUCCCUCAACAUGCAACAAAGAGUCACUCCAAAGUCACUAAUAGCGGAGAACAAACGAAGAGAUUAUGGUAGGGUACGAAACCACCUCAAAGUUAUUCUUUCUGAUCGAUCUAUCAUAGAGUUCGUACUAGAAUAACACCUUAAGAUAAAAAUCAACCAAAACCCUAAUGUCACCUAGAUACUCCAAUGUCACCUCAAGUAUCCAUGGGUAUGAUUAUACGAUAUGCAUCACACAAUCUCAGAUUCAUCUAUUCAACCAACACAAAGAACUUCAAAGAGUGCCCCAAAGUUUCUACCGGAGAGUCAAGACAAAAACGUGUGCCAACCCCUAUGCAUAGGUUCAUGGGCGGAACCCGCAAGUUGAUCACCAAAACAUACAUCAAGUGGAUCACGUGAUAUCCCAUUGUCACCACAGAUAAGCACAGCAAGACAUACAUCAAGUGUUCUCAAAUCCUUAAAGACUCAAUCCGAUAAGAUAACUUCAAAGGGAAAACUCAAUCCAUUACAAGAGAGUAGAGGGGGAGAAACAUCAUAAGAUCCAACUAUAAUAGCAAAGCUCGCGAUACAUCAAGAUCGUAUCACCUCAAGAACACGAGAGAGAGAGAGAGAGAGAGAGAGAGAGAGAGAGAGAUCAAACACAUAGCUACUGGUACAUACCCUCAGCCCCGAGGGUGAACUACUCCCUCCUCGUCAUGGAGAGCGCCGGGAUGAUGAAGAUGGCCACCGAUGAGGGAUUCCCCCUCCGGCAGGGUGCCGGAACAGGGUCCCGGUUGGUUUUUGGUGGCUACAGAGGCUUGCGGCGGCGGAACUCCCGAUCUAUUCUGUUUUCUGGAGGUUUCAGUAUUUAUAGGACUUUUUGGCGUAGGUCUCACGUCAGGGGGGUCUCCGGGUUGUCCACGAGGCAGGGGCCCACGCCCAGGGGGGUGGGCGCGCCCCCACCCUUGUGGGCAGCCCGGGACUCUCCUGGCCCAACUCUUUUACUCCGGGGGCUUCUUUUGGUCCAUAAAAAAUCAUCAGAAAUUGGCACGUCAAUUGGACUCCGUUUGGUUUUCCCUUUCUGCAAAACUUAAAAACAAGGAAAAAAAGAAACUGGCACUGGGCUCUGGGUUAAUAAGUUAGUCCCAAAAAUAAUAUAAAAGUGCAUAGUAAAGCCCAUUAAACAUCCAAGAUGGAUAAUAUAAUAGCAUGAAUACUUCACAAAUUAUAGAUACGUUGUAGACGUAUCAGCAUCCCCAAGCUUAAUUCCUGCUCGUCCUCGAGUAGGUAAAUGAUAAAAGAAAUAAUUUAUGAAGUGUGAAUGCUAUUAGGUGCACAAGUCUGAUCAAUGAUAAUUUCAAUCACCUUUUCUGGCAUCAUUAUAUGUCAUAACAGUAGCUCAUAUCAUAAAGCUUCUUAUGAUCAAGUAACAAGCUAUUCACAUGUUAAAGUAUAGAUUAUAAACUUUCUUGAAAACUAACAAACAGUUCUCAGUCAUCAAACAAUUGCAAUUCAUCUUAUUUUCAGGAAGGGUCUAUGUAAGAGAUUUGAUUUAGCAAAUCCCACAUACUCAACUAUCAUAUAGUCUUCCAUGAUUGCUACCACUCAAAGCAUAUUUUUAGAACAAAUAGUAUUCAUCGAACACAGAGAAAGAUAGGGGCUUAAUGUUUCGCCUCCCAACCUUUUACCUCAAGGGUAAUGUCAACAGUAAUAAUUAAUGCUCAAAUAUAUUUGAAUGGCCAUAUAUGCUUGCCAACUAAAGAGUAGGUUGGAAUGAGAAGCAAUACUACUGACUCUUGCAUAAAAGUAAAAGAUAGGCCCUUCGCAGAGGGGAGCAGGGAUUUGUAGAGGUGCCAGAGCUCGAAGCAAAAACAGAGAUGAAAAUAAUUUUGAGAGGUAUGCUUUCAUUGCCAACAUAACGACCAAGAGUUCCCAAUAUCUUCCAUACUAGAUACAUUAUAGGCGGUUCCCACACAGAAAGGUAAAGUUUUUACUCCCCCUCCACCAACAUUCACACUCCACGGCUUGUCCGAAACAACGGGUGCUGUCCAACUAUCAACAUUCCUAGGGGAGUUUUGUUUAAAUUAUUUGCGAUUUUGUUUUUGAUCCUUUGAUCAUAGGACUGGGCAUCCCAGUUACCAGCCAUUUUCUCGUGAAUGAUGAGCAGAGUCCACUCAUCGUGAGAAUAACCCACCUAGCAUGGAAGAUACUGACAACCCCUAGUCGCUACAUGAGCGAUUUGGGCAUACAAAACAGAUUAUUAUUUGAAGUUUUAGAGUUUGGCACAUGCAAAUUUACUUGGAACGGCAGGUAAAUACCGCAUAUAGGUAGAUAUGGUGGACACUCAUGGAAGAAACUUGGUUCAAGGAAUUUGGAUGCACAAGCAGUAUUCCCGCUUAGUACAGAUAUUUUGGCUAGCAAAGGAUUCUAAUAGCAAGCACCACAUGUUAGAGGAUCCAUAACAAUAUAACUUCUAUACAAAUAUACCCAAGCAUAACUCAUUAUGUUGUCUUCCUUGUCCAACUUCAACUACUUUGCUCAGGUGUGAAAAUAAUUAAUGGGGCUCACAACCAUAGAAGAUGUCCAAGAUAGUAUAUUUAUAUGUGAAAUCUCUCUUCCUUCAAUAUUCUUUCAUGAAUUGUUCAAGUGACCAAUACAAUGUUUGCUAACCUUCAAUAAAUUUACCACCUCUACUUCUUAUAUGUGGAGGCAUUACUCCCCAUGGGAAAGGCAUAUGAAACAUAUAUAAUUUCAGAUUUAUGACAUUCAAAUCAUUCAACCAUUUACUCAUAGGAUAUAAGUGAAGCACGUGAGUAAAUGACAAACUACUCCAAAAAGAUAUAAGUGAAGAUCAAUGAGUAGUUAAAUAAUUAUAUAGCUAUGUGAAGACUCUCUCUCAUUUAAGAAUUUCAGAUCUUGGGAUAUUAUUCAAACAGCAAGAAAAUCUAAAGAAAAUAAAAUGACGCUCCAAGCAAAACACAUAUCAUGUGGUGAAUAAAAAUAUAGCUCCAAGUAAAGUUACCGAUGAAUGAAGACGAAAGAGGGGAUGCCUUCCGGGGCAUCCCCAAGCUUAGACGCUUGGUUAUCCUUGAAUAUUACCUUGGGGUGCCUUGGGCAUACCCAAGCUUAGGCUCUUGCCACUCCUUAUUCCAUAGUCCAUCGAAUCUUUACCCAAAACUUGAAAACUUCACAACACAAAACUUAACAGAAAACUCGUAAGCUCCGUUAGUAUAAGAAAAUAAAUCACCACUUAGGUACUGUUGUGAACUCAUUAUAAAUUAAUAUUGGUGUUAAACCUACUGUAUUCCAACUUCUCUAUGGUUUAUAAACUAUUUUACUAGCCAUACAUUCAUCAAAAUAAGCAAACAACACAUAGAAAACAGAAUCUGUCAAAAACAGAACACUCGGUAGUAAUAUGUAUCAAACGUAUACUUCUGGAACUCCAAAAAUUCUAAAAUAAAUUGGUGGACCUGAGUAAUUUGUCUAGUAAUCAUCUGCAAAAAGAAUCAACUAAAUAGCACUCUCCAGUAAAAAAAUUAGCUAAUCUCGUGAGCCCUAAAGUUUCUGUUGUUUACAGCAUGAUCAUAAAGACUUCACCCAAGUCUUCCCAAAGGUUCUACUUGGCACAAACACUAAUUAAAACACAAAACCACAUCUAAACAUAAGCUAGAUGGAUUAUUUAUUCCUAAACAGAACCAAAAAGCAAGAAACUAAAAUAAAAUUGGGUUGCCUCCCAACAAGCGCUAUCGUUUAACGCCCCUAGCUAGGCAUGAUGAUUUCAAUGAUGCUCACAAAAAGAUAAGAAUUGAAACAUAAAGAGAGCAUCAUGAAGAAUAUGACUAGCACAUUUAAGUCUACCCCACUUCCUAUGCAUAGGAAUUUUGUGAUCAAACAAUUUAUGGGAACAAUAAUCAACUAGCAUAGGAAGGCAAGACAAGCAUAACUUCAAGAUUUUAAGCACAUAGAAAGGAAACUUGAUAUUAUUGCAAUUCCUACAAGCAUAUAUUCCUCCCUCAUAAUAAUUUUCAGUAGCAUCAUGAAUGAAUUCAACAAUAUAACCAACACCUAGAGCAUUCUUUUCAUGAUCUACAAGUAUAGAAUUUUUACUACUCUCCACAUAAGCAAAAUUCUUCUCAUUCGGAAUAGUGGGAGUUUCAUAAGAGACUUGAAUACUAUAAAUUGUUUCCACAUUAAAAGAGUAAUGUUCAGAAAAAGGGUAAUCAUAAUCAUGACAAGUUUUAUAAAUAUAAUCAUCACUACUUUUUAUAGCAUAAGUUUCAUCACAAUAAUCAUCAUAAGUAGCAACUUUGUUCUCAUCAUAAUCAAUUGGAACCUCUUCCGAAAUAGUGGACUCAUCACUAUAUAAAGUCAUGACCUCUCCAAAUCCACUUUCAUAAAUAUUAUAAGAUUCAACAUCCUCCAAAAUAUUGGGAUCAUUACUUCCUAAAGUUGACACUCUUCCAAACCAACUUUCAUCAAUAUAAUCAUCAUAGGUAGAAGGCAUGCUAUCAUCAUAACAACUUUGCAUGUCAAAACUUGGGAGGCUAAAAAUAUCAUCUUCAUUAAACGUAGCAUCCCCAAGCUUGGGACAAACAUUAAUUUCAGCAAAUAUAUUCUCAAAUAUGUCAUUCUCAUCAAACAUAGCUUCCCCAAGCUUGGGCCUUUGCAUAUCAUAAGCAUAAUCAUUCUCAUCAUUAAUAGUAUGCAUAGCACCAAUAGUAUAGCAAUUAUCAUCAUCACAAUGAGUAGUAGGAGCAACAUCAUUUGGGAGGGAUACCUUUUUACCUUUACUUCUCUGUUUUUGCUUUUUCUUAUUCACAUCAUGUGCGGGUUUAUCCCUCCUUUUUGAGCUCCUUAUUGAUGAGAUUGGUUGAACAGAAGGCUCCUCCUUGUUACCUGAUUCAUCAUAAGAAAUAAUAGGAGAAUAUUGGGAAGUCUCUUCCCUUUCGUUAGUAUUCUCUUCAUCUUCUAUUUGUUUUCUUUUCUUUAUGUAAUUGGCAAUAUAAGGAUUUUCAAUGCAAUUCACCGCACAAUACAUAUAAAUUUCCUCUAGAUCAAAAUGAAGAAUUCUAUCAAGGGCAAAUUCUGGAAAAAUCUUAGUUAUACGUUUCAUUUCUUCAUAACCCAAGAGCAAACUAAGUUCAUUAUGAUGUGCAAGGGAAAUCAAGUCAUCACAAUUUUUGGACAUGACACGAUCAUGAAACAAUUUGCAUUGGUUACUGAAAUGAUCAUGUUCAUUGCAAAGUUCACAAGUACGGCUAAGAAAAUUUAAAUUUUUAGCACAAACAUCUAGCCUUUCUUGCAACAAUUUAGUUUCUAAAUGAUUAUGCUUCUUGCAAUAUCUAUCUUCCCUAUUUGGUGUGUACUUGCAAACCCAAUACACUCCACAAAAAUUGACAUGCUUAUAAGAGAUAUUUUCAUCAUGACUAGUGCAAUCAUCAUUAGUACCAUGGAUAUUCAAAGGGUUCAUACUAACAACAUUGCAAUCAUGCUCAUCAUUCAAAGAUUUAGUGCCAAACAUUUUAUAGACUUCCUAUUCUAGCACCUUGGCACAAUUUUCCUUUCCAUCAUGCUCACGAAAGAUAUUAAAAAGAUGAAGCGUAUGAGGCAAACUCAAUUCCAUUUUUUUGUAGUUUUCUUUUAUAGACUAAACUAGUGAUAAAACAAGAAACAAAAAGAUUUGAUUGCAAGAUCUAAAGGUAUACCUUCAAGCACUCACCUCCCUGGCAACGGCGCCAGAAAAGAGCUUAGUUGACGGGGUGUGAGUGCCGCUUACCUAGCCUCCCGGGCAACGGCGCCAGAAAAGAGUUUGAUGUCUACUACGCAACCUUCUUCUUGUAGACGUUGUUGGGCCUCCAAGUGCAGAGGUUUGUAGGACAGUAGAAAAUUUCCCUCAAGUGGAUGACCUAAGGUUUAUCAAUCCGUGGGAGGCGUAGGAUGAAGAUGGUCUCUCUCAAGCAACCCUGCAACCAAAUAACAAAGAGUCUCUUGUGUCCCCAACACACCCAAUACAAUGGUAAAUUGUAUAGGUGCACUAGUUCGGCGAAGAGAUGGUGAUACAAGUGCAAUAUGGAUGGUAGAUAUAGGUUUUUGUAAUCUGAAAUUAUAAAAACAGCAAGGUAACUAAUGAUAAAAGUGAGCGUAAACGGUAUUGCAAUGCUAGGAAACAAGGCCUAGGGUUCAUACUUUAACUAGUGCAAGUUCUCUCAACAAUAAUAACAUAAUUGGAUCAUAUAACUAUCCCUCAACAUGCAACAAAGAGUCACUCCAAAGUCACGAAUAGCGGAGAACAAACGAAGAGAUUAUGGUAGGGUACGAAACCACCUCAAAGUUAUUCUUUCUGAUCGAUCUAUCAUAGAGUUCGUACUAGAAUAACACCUUAAGAUACAAAUCAACCAAAACCCUAAUGUCACCUAGAUACUGCAAUGUCACCUCAAGUAUCCAUGGGUAUGAUUAUACGAUAUGCAUCACACAAUCUCAGAUUCAUCUAUUCAACCAACACAAAGAACUUCAAAGAGUGCCCCAAAGUUUCUACCGGAGAGUCAAGACGAAAACGUGUGCCAACCCCUAUGCAUAGGUUCAUGGGCGGAACCCGCAAGUUGAUCACCAAAACAUACAUCAAGUGGAUCACGUGAUAUCCCAUUGUCACCACAGAUAAGCAUGGCAAGACAUACAUCAAGUGUUCUCAAAUCCUUAAAGACUCAAUCCGAUAAGAUAACUUCAAAGGGAAAACUCAAUCCAUUACAAGAGAGUAGAGGGGGAGAAACAUCAUAAGAUCCAACUAUAAUAGCAAAGCUCGCGAUACAUCAAGAUCGUAUCACCUCAAGAACACGAGAGAGAGAGAGAUCAAACACAUAGCUACUGGUACAUACCCUCAGCCCCGAGGGUGAACUACUCCCUCCUCGUCAUGGAGAGCGCUGGGAUGAUGAAGAUGGCCACCAGUGAGGGAUUUCCCCUCCGGCAGGGUGCCGGAACAGGACCCCGAUUGGUUUUUGGUGGCUACAGAGGCUUGCGGCGGUGGAACUCCCGAUCUAUUCUAUUUUCUGGAGGUUUCAGUAUUUAUAGGAUUUUUUGGCGUAGGUCUCACGUCAGGGGGGUCUCCGGGUUGUCCAUGAGGCAGGGGCCCACGCCCAGGGGGGUGGGCGCGCCCCCCACCCUCGUGGGCAGCCCGGGACUCUCCUGGCCCAACUCUUUUACUUCGGGGGCUUCUUUUGGUCCAGAAAAAAUCAUCAAAAAUUGGCACGUCAAUUGGACUCCAUUUGGUUUUCCUUUUCUGCAAAACUUAAAAACAAGGAAAAAACAGAAACUGGCACUGGGCUCUGGUUUAAUAAGUUAGUCCCAAAAAUAAUAUAAAAAUGCAUAGUAAAGCCCAUUAAACAUCCAAGAUGGAUAAUAUAAUAGCAUGAAUACUUCAUAAAUUAUAGAUACGUUGGAGAUGUAUCAUACUCCCAGUCCACCCAUCUCAUGUCACAGACAAUGGGCUUCUUGUCAAGCAGGAUAGUCUCAUAGAAAUCUUGAUGUUCCUUUGUGUGGAACCUGUAAUCCACAGCAGUUCUCCUCCUGACAGCAUAUGGAUCAGACUGUCUCCACAAUCUCAGUCCUGAAUCCUUCCUGAUCCUCAUAUCUUCUGCAACAGGAUGUGCAUCAUUAUGGUCAGGGAUCUUGGGCUUCAACUUUCUUAAAACAAGUGAAUCAUCUUCCUCGUCAUCAGCAGCUUCAGGCACUGGGGCCUUGUUCUUCUCUUCAGCAGGGAUGUUCCUGGUGCUCCUCUUGGGUGCAGACUUUUGAGCUGAAGCUUUGGGAGCAGACUUGGGCUUAGAUGGAGCAGCCCCUGAUCUGAUCAUCUCCCAUAAGCUUCUGAGCUUUGGGUGUUGGUGCAGCAUCCUCUUCCUCUUCAUCAUCAUCUCUCAUCAUGGAGGGCUUCCCAAUAACUCUGGCAAUGGUCUUCUUGACCCUUUCUUUCCUCUUCUUGCCUUCACCUCCUUCUUUGGGUUCAAGAGUGAACUCCAUUGUAUCUUGAGUAGAGGCUCUGGCCUUAGACAUAGGAACUCUUCUUGCUGGAGCCUUUGUUUUCAUUCCAGGCUUUGUUGCAGCAGUUGUGCCAUACUCCUUUUUCAGCACCUUUUUCCUUAAAGUGGCCUCAUCCUCAACAGCCACAUAAUCCACAUCCUCAGAAUCUGAGGUUCUCUUCUUCCUUGUCCUGGUGGCUGCCUUUGGCAAGUUACUAGGUGUGCUCCUGCUGCCCUCAUCAUAGCUGCUGGAGGGACUAGUGCCCUCACUCAACUGAACCUGUUCUUCAGACUUGUUCUGGUUGUCACUUUGAUCAGACAUCUUCAGGCAAACUGUCAGCAGACCCUGUGAAUAGGUUGUAGAUGAGGUAGAGUGGAUGAGCAUCACAAAGUACAGAGUUUUGUCAACACAGAUGACUUAAAAACUUAGUUUUAGUUCUUCACAGAAAGCAUUUCGGAUCUACCGAUUUGUAAACUCGGUGAUACCGAAGCAGCUUUUCGAACCUAAACUAGUGAACUCGGUCAGACCGAGUCACAGUUCGGUGGCACCGAGACUGCUAGGGUUUCACAAAGAAUCGAACUCGGUCACACCGAUUUGCAAUUUUCGGUCGGACCGAAAACGCAUGUGCAAUGGCCUAAGCCAAAUCGGUGAGACCGAUUUCUACAACUGGUCGGUCCGAGAUGAGUUUGGCGGAGACCUAACCCUAAAUUUCCAAAUCAAAUCUAAUCUACGGGAUGUUUUCAGUGGACAGGAUGAUUUCAUAUGUGGCAAGAAUCAUGGCAAAGCAAUGUGCUAAGAAUCAGAGUUAAGGAAUAGCACAAAGAUCAAGUUCGUACCCUAGUUCAGCGGUGAACUCGCUACGGCGGCAACGGCGGGGCAGAUUGCCGUUGACGGCGGCGGAGACCAGCGGCAGGAGGUCACUGGCGGCGAGAGGAUGAUCCGGAGACCCGAGGAGGCAGAGCAGGUCACGUGUGGGUGAAAGGUUUUGGAAAUUUUUCCAAAAUUUGACCCGUCAGUAUAUAUAACCUGACCCUGUUGGUGUGACCAAGUGGAACAACUCGGUGGCACCGAGAUGCAAAACUGUAAGCAGUUACUGCAACUCGGUGUGACCGAAGAGUUCUAAUCGGUUGCACCGAGAUUGAAAACCUAGAUCAACUUAGUGAUCUCGGUAUGACCGAAAAGGAUGUAUCGGUCAGACCGAAAUGCACAAAGAGGUUUUGGAAGUUUAAGUCUACGACGAAUCGGGGACUCCGAGUGCUCCUCACACAGAGUGGUUCGAAUCUGACUUGAUCAAACUUUGUGAUGUAGCAUGAAUAGAGUUUGAAACGAGGAAAGCAUAGAUAGCUAGAGGGAGUUCUUAGACAUUUUUGUCCAUCCAUUUGGCAAAAGAGAAAAAGCCAAACAAUCAAAGCAACAAAUGGAUGUCCUCGAAUGAGUAAAAAUAUGCAUCCAACAUUCUCACACAAUAAAAUGAAAAAUGAAAUAUGUGACAAAGCAUGCACAAACACUUUAGCAUCUAUCAAGCAAUUUGGCGAUGUCUAGGUCAUCUAUAUAUGAGUAUAUUGACUUAGGAGUCAAAUGAGAACAUUUGAUCAUAGGUCAUACUCAUCGUUUAUGCACAAGUGGGGUUACCACUUUUACAUAAAGCAUUGUUGUGCUCACACCAUUAGAGUUGCUUUAGCUCAAUUCUUAGAGUAAAGCUCCCCCUAGAUGUGAUAUCCCCCCUAAGAGGGAUGAACUAACCUUGGGUUUUGUCGGUGAUGACUUCAUGUAGGUGUUGAAGAUGUGGGUGCUCAAUGUUGAUGUAGAUCAUUCGGAGCAAUCCUUUGGAGUGAGUUGCACUUUCAAUACCUACACGGGUUAGCCCCACAAGGAACAAAUAAGGAUAUCCAUAGACAUAGAGUGAUGUACACACAAGAUGAUGUCCAUGAAAGCAUUAGGUUACCUUGUCCCUUGUCUUACCAACAAGAGGGUUUGUGACUCCUUGAACUAGUGCAAGAUAUGGAAGUUGUUUGCACUUGUCAUUGCCAAAAUGAUAAGAGUGAAGUAUGUUGGCGGAUUCACCCUCAAGAACUCUCUAGUUCCUCUUCUUAGGGAUCCACACCAUCUUGAUGGGAAUCCUUGGAGUUGUAGUCGUACUUGAUGAAGUGGAACUUGAUGUGGUUUUGGGAACCCAUUUGACCAAGGCCUUAGGUGCUUCUUCAAAUGCAUCAAUCUCCUCUUGAAGCUUGUCCUUGCCUUUUUGCUUGUGGUCUUGUGGUGGAAGAUCAUCUUGAGCUUGUGUUCCUUGGAAAGAAGUAGGAUCAAACUUCUCUUGUUGAGGAACAAACUUCAUCUUGGGGUAUUGAUCUUCUUCCCACUCAACUCCAUUGGCAUUGAACUUUCGUUCAAAAUCAAUACCUUGAUUCUUCCGGUGCCUUCCUUGCUUGCAUACAAUUUCCUCAAAUUGCUUACUUCCGGCAAGGCUCUUGUAAACACCUUUCUCUAUAAUUCCCUUCAAUAAGCUAUUUUCUUGCUCAAGUGUAACUUGGAUAAGAGAAUCAUUAGUGGAAUCAAGAGAACCUCUAGAAGCAACAAUAUUGGAUUUAGCAUGAUUAUUGUUACUACUAGAAGAAGAAUCUUUCUUGUUCUUGUUGCUAGAUUUAACUUGUGGCAUGUAAGUAGACAAGAGUAAACGCUUGGCAGUGUAAGAAGAACUUUUCUUGCGAAGAACAUCAUUGAUUGCUUUUAAGAACUCAUGCUCUUGCUCAAGGUUGAGCUUUUCAAAGCGUAGCUUCUCAUGAGUCUUUAAAAGUUCUCGAUGAUCUUCCAAGGUAGUUUCAUGAGCUAACUUAAGAGUGUUUAGUUCUUUAGUUAGACGCUCAAUCUCCUUCUUAUCAUCGUCAUUCGUUUUAUCUUGAUUAGCAUGAUCAUUAGCAAGUUCAUCAUAGUUUUCAUAACUAGAGUUGUCAACAAGUAGAUCAUCAUCUCCUAGCAAAUCAUCUUCAUCACUAUUGAAAUCAACAUACUCGGGGUGUGUUACCUUUGGACCUUUGGCCAUGAAGCAUCUUCCAAUUCCUUCAUUUGGUGAGUCAAAUAUGUCGUAGGAGUUGGUUGACACAAGUGCUAGACCGGCAACACCUUCAUCUUGAGUAUAUUCGGAGUCAGAGUGAUAACUUCUUUCGGAGUGAUGGUCGGAGUCGGAGCCGGAUACCCAUUCACCAACAUGAGCUUGAUGUCUUCGUUUUGUGUAGCUCCUUGAUGACUUGUCCUUCCUCUCCGAAUCCUUGCUUCUCCGAGAGGGUCUUCGUUCAUAACGAUCAUCUCUACUCCUUCUCUCUCUUGGAGGCGAUUCUUCUCUCCUACUCCUUCUUUUGGGAGAAUCUUCUCUUCUUUUGUAGGGAGCCGUACACUCAUUGGAAUAGUGUCCGGGUCUUCCACAAUUGUAGCAAUUACGCUCACGACUAGAAGAUCUAUUGUCAUUGUAGGACCUUGACUUGGAGCUUCUUUCCUAGCUUCUACUCUUGUAGAAUUUGUUGAAGUUCUUCACCAUUAGACUCAACUCUUCAUUGAAGGUUUGCUUCUCACUUGAUGAUGUGGGAGAUUCACAUGAGGCUUUGUAAGCACCACUUGACUUGUUGUGGAGCUCUUCCUUAUCCUUGAGUGACAUCUCAUGAGCAACAAUUCUUCCAAUGACUUCCGUUGGCUUGAGAUCUUUGUAGUUGGGCAUCAUUUGGAUCAAUGUGCACACGGUAUCAUAUUUUCCAUCCAAGGCUCUUAGGAUCUUCUUGAUGAUGAAUCUAUCGGUCAUCUCUUCACUUCCUAAGCCGGCAAUCUCAUUUGUGAUGAGAGCAAGCCUAGAGUACAUUUCAGCGACACCUUCACCAUCCUUCAUUUUGAACUUGUCAAGUUGACUCUGAAGCACAUCCAAUUUGGAUUCCUUGACGGAGUCGGUACCUUCGUGCAUAUCAAUCAAAGUAUCCCAAAUUUCCUUUGCAUUCUCAAGACGGCUGAUUUUAUUGAAUUCUUCGGGACACAAUCCGUUGAAGAGAAUAUCACAAGCUUGAGCAUUGUAUUGCAGCAUCUUCAACUCUUCCGUGGUAGCUUCACGGUUUGGUUCUCUCCCAUCAAAGAAUUCACCUUGCAAGCCAAUACACACAAUAGCCCAAACGGCGGGGUUAUGUCCAAGAAUAUGCAUUUUCAUCUUAUGCUUCCAACUAGCAAAAUUUGUACCAUCAAAGUAAGGACCUCUACGGUGGUAAUUUCCCUCGCUAGACGCCAUACUCUCCUAGGUUGUGAAACCAAGGCUAUGACCACCAAAAGCUAUGGAAAUUAAAGAAAAUGGAGACCAAAGCACUGAUACCACUUGUAGGAUCGAAAGUAUGUCUAGAGGGGGGGUGAUUAGACUACUUGACCAAAUAAAAAUCUAGCCUUUUCCCAAUUUUAAGUCUUGGCAGAUUUUAGCAACUUAGCACAACUCAAGUAAUCAACCUACACAUACAAUUCUAAGAGUAUAGUAGCGGAAUGUAAAACAAUUGCAUAUGAAGGCAAAGGGAGGAGUUUGAGGGAGCAAACGCAAUGUUGACACGGAGAUUUUUUAUCCGUGGUUCCGAUAAGUGGUUCUAUCGUACAUCCACGUUGAUGGAGACUUCAACCCACGAAGGGUAACGGUUGCACGAGUCCACGGAGGGCUCCACCCACGAAGGGUCCAUGAAGAAGCAACCUUGUCUAUCCCACCAUGGCCGUCGCCCACGAAGGACUUGCCUCACUCGGGUAGAUCUUCACGAAGUAGGCGAUAUCCUUACCCUUACAAACUCCUUGGUUCAACUCCACAAUCUUGACGGAGGCUCCCAAGUGACACCUAGCCAAUCUAGGAGACACCACUCUCCAAGAGGUAAUAGAUGGUGUGUUGAUGAUGAACUCCUUGCUCUUGUGCUUCAAAUGAUAGUCUCCCCAACACUCAACUCUCUCUCAUAGGAUUGGAUUUGGUAGAAAGAUGAUUUGAGUGGAAAGCAUGGAAGGCUAGAGAUCAAGAUUUAUGUGGUUGGAAUGGAAUAUCUUGACCUCAACACAAGUGUAGGUGGUUCUCUUUCAGAAAAUGUAUGUUGGAAGUGUAGGCAUGUUCUGAUGGCUCUCUCCACGAAUGAAGAGUGGGUGGAGGGGUAUAUAUAGCCUCCACACAAAAUCUAACCGUUACACACAAUUUACCAAACUCGGUGGGACCGAUUCAGAGAACUCGGUCAGACCGAUUUAGUUCAAAAUGUGGACGUUAGGAUUUUCGGUGGGACCGACAUGUCAACUCGGUGGGACCGAUUUCGUUAGGGUUAGGGCAUAACGUAAUCUCGGUGAGACCGAUUACACAAACUCGGUGAGACCGAUUUUGGUAAUAGACUAACCAGAGAGUUGGUCAGGCAAACUCGGUGGGACCGAUUCGCUCAUCUCGGUUGGACCGAAACGUUAUGAAAGGGAAACAGAGAGUUUGCAUUGCAAUCUCGGUGGGACCGAUCGCUCAUCUCGGUUUGACCAAAACGUUACGAAGGGAAACAGAGAGAUUACAAUCCCAUCUCGGUGAGACCGAGAUCCCUAUCGGUGAGACCGAAAAGACUAGGAUUGUGGCUGUGGCUAUGUCAAGUGAACUCGGUGGCGCCGGAUAGAUCAAAUUGGUGGGGCCGAGUUUGACUUUUGGUUUGGGACAUAUGUGGAUAUGAGAAAGUAGUUGAGGGCUUUGGAGCAUAUCACUAAGCAUUUUGAGCAAGAAACUCAUUAAGCAACACCUCACCCCCUCUUAAUAGUAUUGGCUUUUCCUAUGGACUCAAUGUGAUCUUGGAUCACUAAAAUGAAAAAUGUAGAGUCUUGUGCUUCUUGAGCCAAUCCUUUUGUCCUUAGCAUUUUGAGGGGUCCACUUUCUUAACCCAUGCCAUGCCAAUCAUUGAGCUUUCCUGAAAUAUUUAUCUUGAAAUAGCAUUAGCUCAAUGAGCUAUAUGUUGUUAGGAAUUACCAAAACCACCCAGGGAUAGUUGCACUUUCACUUAGCUGAGAAGCACCUUGACCUCGCCACAAAAGCCGCCGCUCCUUAGCCGCCGGACCGUGGCCCGGCGCACUGAGUUGAGGAGGAGGAGGUCGUACAUUGAUGGAUGCAUCUUUCUUCUUGCCUCCUGUAACCACCACUGCGAUCGCAUCAUCGUGGCCUUAAUUCUUAUUGUGCUAUUGCAUUCUCGUUCUAGGCAAUACAGACAUGUGCGAUCCCUUUGCUUAAUUAUAUGCAUCACUGUAACUAGUACUCCAUCCGUCAAUUUAUAAGUUGUGCUACCAGUGUUUGGGGCCGGCGCACGAUCACGCACGUUCGUGUGCAUGCGGUUGUGCCGGGCGCGGCGCGACGAUGCAGUUACCCGCUGCAAAAACUGCCAUGCAGGGGACGUGGCAUUGACCAUUGAGCAGCAACAGCCGGUCAUCCGGGUGCCCGAUAAAGGAUGCAAAGAGGGAUCCUACAGCAGCAAGGACCAGCUUCCCUACCGAUAGCUUAUCUAACAGAACUCCCGUUACUUUACGACAUGUUUCCAAAACAUGGACCUCAAGGUUAAUUCAACUAAUAGGACGGAGCAUUAUAUACAUUUAACGCAAUUAAAUGUUUUCCAAAAAAAGUGAUAUGAUUUCUGUGAAACUUAUAAGUCAUGUAUGUCAAAUUAACCUCUGUGUACUUGUUCUCGAAUUAACCUCCGGGCCUUUUUGCCGUGUAUCACACACAUCUUGUUAAGUUGAACCAUUUAUGUUCUCUUCCCUAAUCGAAAACAGUUCAUUCGACUGAACCGUAUGCCGUAUAUCACACAUACCUUGAUCUAGCUGACCGUUUCUGUUGCUUUCCCUAAUAGCAAACAGUUCAUUGAAGCGAACCGUAUGCCGUAUAUCGCACACGCAUUAAUAUGGCUGGCCGUUUCUGUUGUUCUGUCUAAUCGCAAAUAGUUCGUCUGGAUCAACCGUAUGCCCUGCUUCGCACACGCAACUAAAAUCUGAACCCUGUUUGAUGCAUCCGUCAUCGCAAAUGUUUUGCACCUUUUUUGAUGGAUUUUUUACACCACCGUUUGCGAUUAUGGCAUCGCACACAGUUUCGUCGAAGGGUCUCUGAUCAUAGUGUCGCGUUAGCAGCAUCCUGCAGUAGUGUGCUCUCAAGUUUUGGCUUUUGACUUUAAGUCGCCAGUAUGUUGUGGCUCAUGUUUGAGUAUUUCGGGUUGUCACCCGCCCUGGCGUGUGAUUUUAAGUCGUCGGGAUGUUUUAGCUAAUCAGCCAUGUUCAUGAUUUUUUCAAUGGCUGGAUAAGACUACAAGUCUUUGGGGUUGUCACCCGCCCUGGCUCUUGACUAUAAGUCGCCAGUAUAAAUUUGGCUAACAACCGCUAGCAUAAUCUUUUAAAUGAUUGUUUAUGACCAUGAGUCUCGGGGUUAUAACCCGCCCUGGAUUCAAGCCUUAAAAGCCGACUUAUGAAUUAUAUUAUUGUGCAUAUUUGCAAUUUUUAUAACAUCUCUGUUUGCAGGGGUUAUCAGUUCUUACAAAGGCUAUAGGCCGCCGGGUUAAAAAAAUCCCGGGUUACAAUGAAUGCGCGUUAAGUCGUCGUCGGCCCAGAGCCACCGGGUAUUUAACUCCGGAUUUACUUGUCAAACAGAUAAGGUCUUGUGAUUAUAAGUCGCCAACAAGCAAAUUGUUGAGUCUUUUCACAGCUACGACGAGUUGAUUACAGUUGCAUAUCAAGCACCCAUUUUUAAACUGGGUUAUACGUUCCAAUCUUUAAUAGCCAACAUGGCUGGAUUUUCAUUAUGGUUGUCAUAACCAGUAUUAAAUGAUUGAGGUUGGAAUUUUAAAUAGCCAAACAUGAAACAUGGCUGGAAUUUCAUUAUGGUUAUCAUAACCAAUAUUGGAUGAUUGAGGUUUUCAAAGCCCAUUCAGAGUAAUGGCUAUUAUUCCUUCAUCCAAAAAUACCAGCUCACAGCAGAGAGUAUGGCUCAAUAUUAAUAUGUAAGGAUUUCAGCAACAUCAUCCGAACAGUCGAUAUGAUUUAUUCUACAAUGGAAGGAAUAGUCCCAAGUCGUUGCAGGCAUACGACCCGACACUUGGGGGCUACAUUAUUCAAAUCAAGAUUACAUCAAAUAUGCAAGUCCCAUGUCACUACAAGCAUGCUCCAUGGCAUUUGGGGGCUAAUGCAAGGUCAUUUUUAUCUCACCUCAUUGAAGACCCGACCCAUCACAUAGUGAUGAGCUGGCCCUUGGGGGCUACUAAUUGCUCCUGUCAAAAAUUCAAAGUACACAUGCCUUAAUCCAUUAUAUCAAAGGUAACCCGAAACUUGGGGGCUACAUCAUAUGAUGUUAUUUUCAAUGAAGUACAUGUAAAGUCCCAGCUCAAUAUUAUCUUACUGAGCCGGCCCUUGGGGGCUACACGUUGCUGCUUAAGUCUACAUAAUUAAGUCUACAAAGUCCACGCUCAUUAUUACAUAAUGACCUGGCACUUGAGGGCUACACAUGGGAAGUACAAAAUGUUCAGUUUAUGAUUGGCGACUUACAUGAACAACUCGGAUUUCUCUAGAGUUGCAACAUUUAUAUUUGAAGCAAGUCUUAAGCUAUCAAUACAUUCCCCUCUUAAGACUUGGGGGCUACAGGUAAUAUGGAUAUAAGGUAUGCCUUCAAAUUCCCAGUUAUGAGCAAACCAGGUAUCAUAUUCUUAUUGGCGGAAUUUACAAAGUUUAUUUCCUCCAAGCUAUUCAUAGAAAGGCUUGGAGAGCCAACUUAACAAUUGAAAGCUAUAUUUACAAAAGCAAGCACCAAGUCAGCAUAAUAUUGACCCAACGUUAGCAACAAUCAUGACCCGAUUUCAUCGGUUUUUAUAACCCGACAGUUUUGGUGAUCGUAACUCGACAAAUUCUACAUCCUCAAGCCGGCUCAGCACCAGAAGGAUAUCUUAAAUCCAAUAUUUUUGUCAAGUCGGAGCAUUGGAAGCUGACUCAAAUGGAUUAUUUUUCACCAAUAUUUCUUCUGCAAAAAACCAAUGUCAGCAAAUCGAUUUUGAAGCUGGCCUGCUGCUAUAAUGAAGAGACAGGAUAUGGAAUAACUCAGGAAUUGCAUGAUCCGACAAAUAUUGACCCAGUCGAGUGUUUUCACAGAAGGAGAUGACAAGGACUUAAGGAUGAACAUAAGCCGGCUCAGAAGAACCUUCGACCUGGCGCACAACCUGUCCAAUUUGUUCUUUUGUUUAUUUUGCAGGAUAAGUUUAACAUGGAUAAAUCCAAAUUAAAAUGGGGGCUAAUGUCGGGGAUAUACCCUGCGGUACGACCCGGCCUGAUGUAUGACCCGACCGGAGCUUGUCAAUUCACGAGUGACCCGGCUGAAGCUUGGCGACUCCCUGGUGACCCGGCCGAGCCUGGCGACUCACUGGUGACCCGGUCGAAUCUGGCGACUCACUGGUAACCUAGAGGACGGGUUAGACGAAUGACAAGGCCCAAGGACCAGAAGGCGGCUUGUGAGAAGACCGGCUCUCAAGGUACGGUGUCUGGUGGGCCGGUUUGAGAGGAAAGGCAUAAGGAAUAUUUCCCUUGCAAGGGAAGCACGAUUAGGAUUACACUUGUAAUAGAGUAGUCCUAAUCCUACUAGGACUCCACAUGUAAACCGCCCCUUCAACUUAUAUAAGGAGGGGCAGGGCACCCUAAGGAGGACAAGUUAAGACAGACAAGUCAAUAGCUCUCGAGGGAGAGGUAGCAAAAGAGCACCCUUGUAAUCGUGAGCAUGAUCAUCAUCAAUAUUAAUGAAGCAAGAUGUAGGCUUUUACCUCCACCGUGAGGGGCCGAACCUGGAUAAAAUUCCGCGUCUCUCGUCCCGCUCAACCCCUCUCAAGCUACCAGUUAGAUGCGUUGGCCUCACGACUAAGUCCUCACAUUAGGACAUCUGCCGUGACAAAACCACGACAUGGGCCGUUUGAGGGGGCCGUCUGAGUCAAAAAAUCGUGACCAAGACGGGCGGCCCGCCCGGCCGGCCGUAUGCGGCGGGUUUGAAAGGUCCGGUUAUAGAUGCUCUAAUGAUUCUAAAAUAAAAUAAAAUUUUAAAUUCCAUGUAACCGAUGUCUUGGAGCCUAGUUGGUUUGAUGCCAAAAGUUGGCAUGCCAAAUUUUGACAACUGCCAAAUGUUGGCUAGAGAUUGGUUGUAUAUCCAUUUUCGUUGUCAAUCUCAUAAAAGAUUGUCAACUUUUGAUUUUACCAAAUAUUGACUUGCCAAAUAUUGGCAAUGUCAAAUGUUGGUGAGUUGGUAACAAACCAAUCAGUAGGGCGCUCGUCCACCAAGCACUUCUUCUAUGGCCAUUUGGCCAUGUGCUGCUCUUGUGCCCGAUUUUGAAGCUGGAGAAAGCAAGUCACUGUUAACAAAUGAGAGUGACUCCGUCCAAUUGACAGCUUUGAAAGCAUCUCGAACCCAUUCUUUUCUUGUUAAGUUCUUUUUUCUAUUUCAAUUCAAAAUCUUAAUUUCAUUUCUUUUAUGGCUAUUUUUGCUUCAUAAUAUGACCAUUUUCUCUUUUUUUGCUUAAAAAGCAUUUUUUUAGGGAAAGCAACUUAUUAAAAUAAAAUUGAGCAAAAAGCAACUUAUUAAAAAAAAGACAAAACAACUUUUGUUUUGAGGGAAAGCAACAUAUUGAUUUUUUUUAGACAAAGCAACUUAUUAAAUGGGGAAGGAAUUGGCCGCCGAGGGGCAAAUAUAAACGAGGGACACGGCCCAGCCCAGUAAGAGGGUAUCUUCUUUCCUUUGCCCUAGCGAGCAGGCCCAGCCCAGACUCUCCCCCAAUCUGGACAACUAGCGGCGAAUCCCCAUUCUCCGGCGAGCCGCGGCGAGGCCCUUCUCCGGCACGACCGCUGCUUGCUGCAGCAUCGAGCUCCCCGUACUUCCGCCUCACCUCCGCAGCCUCGUUCCCGCUUGCCGCCUGGCCGACCGCACUCGCCGACGACCGGAAGCAACCAUUACGCGGUGAGCUCCCAUUCCUCUCCCUCUCCUCGGUGCCUAUGCCGCAUGUUUGUUCUCGUGAGCCGUUUCUUAUCUGAGCUCGUCGCAGAUGCGACCUGGAUCUCACCGCCGUCCGUUCCGCCACCCUGGACACCCCCCUCCCCCCUAGCUGGUGAUUCCUCUUUUCUCCUCAUCCUGUCGUCUUCAUGCCGCGAAAAGAACUCGAGUUCGUUUAUGUUGGUCAGCCGCACUAAAGUAUCCAUACCAAAUCUGUUCUUUCAUAUACACAACCGUGUCAUUGUCAUAAGGCAUGAACAUGAUCACAUAUGUUUCAAGGGCAACUUGUUUACUAAUUCAAGCAUCGAUCGGGGCCAACAAAAAAUAUUAGCACUUGUCAGUCGCACCAAGGAUGGAUACGAUGAUAUUCUUGAUUUGCCCUGGCUUAUCUCACAAGUUAGCACUUGUCUCAGCUUUUCAUGGUGUCUAAUAGGUACAUGAGAUUAUAUAUCCUGAAGGUGCAUUCCGUUCCCUUUUUACCAUAUCACAUUUUGUUUCAACACGUAUUGUAGCAACGCGUGUAUUAUAUUAUUAUUAUUGCUUACUUGUUGUGAAAUGGAUGGCGAAAUUGGAAAAACUUAUGGUGAUUUUAUUAUCUGCAACUUUGCAUAUAAUUACUUAAUUACAGAGAAGUAUCCCCAUGCGACGGUGAAUCCGUGUGGCCCCACUCAGCAUAGGUCAUAAGCCCAUACUGAAAUAUGCUUCACAACUUUUCUCAUUUGCAAAUUCUUGUGUAAACUGCAAAAGCAUUGUUAGAAGGAGACCAACAAAAAAAAUCAUGGUUUUUAGUGUGAGUGUUGGAUAAUAUUUCAGUUCAUUUGACAUCCAUAUUUCGAGCAUGGAGUCGACGUUUACCAUUUAUCAAGUGCCGGUCAAAGCUUCAAUCCAUUAAUUCGCUCAGCUCUGUUCAAUCGUUAAAUAAUGGGUAUCACUACUUCUUGCAGUUCUGCACAAACACUAAGUUUCUCAGUUUUAUAUCAUCUAUUUUCUUCUUUUUUGAUGUAGAUAUAAGUUCAUCUGCUAGAUAAGCUCAAAGGAGAUAUUGAAUCUCGGUAGGAGAUGGCCACAACCAUACUACCUGAUGACCUGGUGGUGGAGAUCCUGUCUCGGCUGCCACUGAAGUCCUUUUGCCGUUUCAGAUGUGUCUGCAAGUCUUGGCUUGCCUUCUCAUCUGAUCCGCACUACCGCAAGAAGCUCCCAAGAACUCCCUCCGGUCUCCUGUACCAAAAAAAUGAGCAUGGCAAUGCCAUCCAUUUCGUGGGCCUUCCCUCAGGUGACAGGGAUAUUGACACAACACUUAGCUUUGUGCCAUGCUAUGAGCAUCCCUUGGAGCUUAAGGGUUGCAGCAAUGGCCUGCUUAUGUGUUAUCAUGGUGGUACAGGCUCUAAAGAAAUUUCCGACGCCAUUGUGUGCAAUCCAGCAACUCAAGAGUGGAUGGCACUUCCAAAUACUGAACCUGGACCAGCCGUCUCUUAUGCUGAUCUCAAGUUGUGUUUUGAUCCAUUAUGGUCUCAACACUUCUAUGUCUUCCAAUUUGAGACGACUCCAAAUGGUGGAUAUGACACCGAAGUUAAGGUAUUUUUCUCUGAGGAUUCGACAUGGUCUAAUUGUCUAUGGGAAACUUCAGAUAUACUUGGUGGUGAUUCACUAUUCUUAAAUGGGGUGUUGUAUGUGGAUCACUUAUGGGGGCAUUACCUUCUGGCACUCGAUGCACCUGACACAUGCACACAAUUGCUCAAUCAUAGGAUCCUUCAGCUGCCUGGAUUUCCAAAUGGACCAGAACAGAGGUUUUAUUGCUUUGAUGGCUGUCUUGGCCAGUCAUCUGGGGUCUUAUGCUACGCACAACAAGAAUUGGAUGGCUGCAUCAUCCGAAUUUGGAGUUUGGAAGGAUCUGAUAGGUGGGUGGUGAAGCAUCGUCUAAAUAUGAACAACGUAUUUGGGAGGGACAUAAUGCUCCGUGCUAACAAUGAAGGAUUAUGGUAUUUUGAUUAUGAAAUCCUGGCAUUUGACUUGGAGAGAGAGCUAGUUUUCGUUGCUGACACGAUUGCUGAUAAUAAGAUCAUCUCAUAUAGCAUCAGUACUGGAAAGGGCUCGCAGAUUCUAAACAUUCCAAGGUUCGUUGACCUAUAUCGAAGUCGACUCUACGUGCCUUACUAUGGCAAGUUUCCAGCUUCUGUGCUUCAAGGAGCUCAAGACAAAUGUUAGAUUAUUUACCCUAUGAAUGCUGUAAUCUCUAGUUAUCUUUUGUGCACUAGCUAUACCAAACGGCUGUUAUGCAUGUACCGGAUUGUUGGCUUGGUUAUGUGUUAUGUUAAUCUAAUUGGCACUUGUCAUUUCUCCUGUCAAGUCCGGUCUUGCUUAUGCUAGCCUAAUUUAGAAAAACUGCAGAGCAUGAUGUUAUGAAGCUUUCUAUACAAGGGCGUGUGAGGCAGUGUGAGCUUUCUAUACAAUGGCUGGGAGAACUCUUGUAAUCCUGCCAUGCUUCAGUCUCUUGACAUAGCAGCUAGCGAUCAUAUAUUAGAUUGAUUUACUAAGAGAUAAUGUUUCAGCCAUAGCAAAGUCGAGUAGGAUCCGCCUCACCGAGACUGCGGAGGUUUGAGCAGCUAGCGUUCAUUGCCGACGAGUUCUUGAGGUACAUCCAGUUCCAGUUCGGAGGCCGUCCGAGGAGUUUGGCCAUGGUAUCCUCCUUCAAAGUUCCCACGGAGCCCCUGCUUGCAGGCAAGGAUGCCCUCCUCAUGCAGUCAUGCUUCAUCCAUUCGCUGGUGGCAUCGCCGGUGACGGCAGCGUGGACGAAGAACAUACUGACAAUUUAACCACUGAUCCAUCAUCAGAGCUAUUCCACUGAUCCAUCGUCUAUGCCAACGUGAAGGAUCUCCACGCUACAUUCGUGUAACAAGAAUUUCACCAACGAGGGAAGUGCUGCCACCAGCGGCAAGCCGAUCAGUCAAGUUGAUGCAAUGUAUUUCAUCUUGCUUCUUAAACUGAUCAAUCAUGAGGCACAGUUGCAGAUAACACGCUGCCACACAUAUUCGUCUGUGGUAUCACUCCCCACACGAUAAUGCUCAUUGAGAUGAAUGACCUCCUAAUCUCAAACCUGAAGUUUCUCCCGCUCUGUUUUGAAUCUAUGCCGGGGCUCAAAAUUAAUCCUCUUAAAGUAAGGCCAUCCUUUUGUGUUUUAUACCCUGGAUGUGCGCAAGAUUGCUAACAAGUUCGUAACAAGGGAUCCUUCCUUUUACACACCUCGAUUUUCUGUUUUGGAUAAAAUUUACUCGGUGAGAUAGGUUGGGCCGUUGGGGUGCCAUGGAAACAAAGCAUAGUUUAAAUAACGGGACCGGUGAUGCCGCCGGUUUAGGUUUUUACCGGCCGGACCGCCGGUUCAUUCGCUGUGUUUUUAAACCAUAAAAAUAUGUAAAAAUAUGUCAAACAUACUGAUUUCUUUAUGGGAAAGGCUUUGCUUCAUGCGGUGGAUAUCAUGCGGACGUCCGUCGCCUCGUCCGUGCAACGCGUGUCCUGCCUGGGCUCAUCUAACAUUUUCUCUUACAGUUUUGCAACUGAGCGCUUGUUGCGGUUUGCCUACCGCAACAACUCGUAUGUUGCAGGAUCUGAAUCUGGCUCCUUCAUGGGCAGUCGCCUCCCGUGUUCUUCACAAGUUCCCGUUCUACAUGACAUUCUACCUCUAAUUUGUGCAACAUCAUCUAUGUUGCAAAAGUCCUUCCGCAACAUCAUCUGUGUUGCAAAAAAAGAAGACAAAAAAAUCUGCAACAUAAUCUCUUUUGAAUAUUUCUGCAACAUGAGCUCUGUUGCAAACGGUUCUGCAACACCGACUUUGUUGCAAUAAUGAGGACGGGGUUAGGUCAUUGGAUUGAUCAGAUCUAACGACUGCUGAGGUGGUGGAUCUUAUCAGAUUAUCCACCGGCGGACGCGUAGCGCUUUCUUUAUCCUUUGACUUUUUUGAGGCAUCUUUAUCCUUUGACUUUUUUGAGGCAUCUUUAUCCUUUGACAGCUAAGUUGGAUGGGGACUUGGUUGUUUCCUAGUGCCCAAGGAUCAAUCCCCGGCGGCUGCAACUAAUUUUCUUUCGGUUCAAUCGGUUUGAGCCAAAAAAAACAGCCGGUUCAAUCGGUUUUAUUUUUCUUUCGGUUCAACCGGUUUUUUGUGUCCAACCGGUGGUCCGGUCUGUCUUUUUAAACUAUGCACACAAGUUCUUCUUGAGUAAGGAAAACGAUAAAUCUACAUAUAGGACGGUCAAAUGGAAACCUAUCCGUAAGCUUAAAAAUGUGAGAGGCUUAGGGGUCGUUGAGACUUCGGUCACUUUUAGGGGGAGUUUUUUUAUUGUACAGGGUGGAGACGCGCUGAAAUUUUUUUUUUAAGUUAAAAAAAUCAACGCGUCUCCACCAAGUACCAUAAAAAAACUCCCCCUAAAAGUGGUUUUACGCAGUCCAUAUUAUUUGGGGAAGGUUCACUAGUGAGGUAUUUAGGUAGAUCCCAUAAACUUCUUCCCCUAAAAUCAGUUUUCCCCAUAUUUCUCCUUAAACUAGCAUACAAAUGGCAUAUGCAUUUCUAUUCUAUCAACCUAAAAAUUCAAAUAAUGUUAUUUCAGAAUCACAAUUUAUGAAAUUUUAUUUGAAAUACAAAUUCGAAACAUUUUCUUCCUCCCCACGAGCUACCCUGUGUGACUAGAGUUUUUCCACCUUCCGUCGGUGCCACAGCCUCCUAUGGCCUUAAGGCCAUGGAGGUGCGGUCGAUUCAGGCCCAUGCCGGCGGGAGGGCCCCUACUCCGUUUUAGGUGCUUUCUUAGUUUGUUUAGGUUUUUUGUCCUGCUCUGGACAGCGAGGCGUCGUAGCCACCCUAAAGAUGGAAUAAGGUUCUUCCUGCCUAGCCCUAGUCCCAGCGAUGUGUCUGGCCUCGUCGGAGGGGAGGUGUGUCUUCGGUGGAUCUCACAGGAUUCAGUCGGUGUUUCUUGGGUGGAUUUGCUUGGAUCUGAUCUACGUGUGUGUAUCUACAAGUUAGAUCCUUUCCAUAUACGCUUCUCUUCAUCAAAGAUGAUUGUUUUUUUUACUAUGAUCGAAGAUGGUUGUUGUUCCGGUGCGCUGAUCUUUUGGGUCGUAGCAUGAUGACUUUCCGACUGUCUACUUCGAUAAGGUUUGCCUGGCUUCGAUGAGGGAGGGGCAAUGCCGGUGGUGCUUCUUCGGCUCACCCCUUGUAGUCCUCGUUAGGUGGUCUACAAACAUUGAUUUGAUUCCUAUUACUUCUAGUGUUAUUUGUACCGCCAUGAUGUUUGACGAAUAGACCUGAAGUUUUUCUCGCGAAAAAGGGAAACAUAACAAAGGGUCUAAAUCAUCCGAAGUAGAACAUAAUAUGAAGGAGUUUAUGGAGCAUGAAGCGACCACAAAUGCUCAACUAGAUCAUCACGAGGUUGUUCAUGCCCCACACGGGUUUCGAUCUACAAUGCAUUUCAAGAAAUUUCUGGAGUCGUCGUUCAUCCCUUUGUAUCCCAACAGGUGGCAUAUAAAUUUUGUUUCCCUCAUUAUUACAGUGAAAGUCUCGAGGUGGCCGGCCGGCGUGGAGAGGUGGGCGGUUAUAAGGGUUAAUGUUUCUUCUCCUUGAUGGAGGGGAAGUUGGGCAGAUUGUACGGGUUCCUAUAAUGUUUCUUCGUGUUUACACAAUAUGUUGGAGCAACUUUUUCUUGUCCACCAUGUCCUCUAAAGAUCCCAACAAUACCUGUGGAGAAUUGCGUAUAACAGCCUUCCAGUAAGAACAAACCUGAAGAGGAGAGGCAUGGAAGCUGACACUUUAUGCCCGGUAUGUCAGUGGCGUGAUGAGGAUGGAGGGCACCUAUUUUUUCAGUGUAAACCGGUCAGAACAAUCUGGAGGACAGUGGGGCGUAAGGACGUACGACUGAAGUGUAUAACAAUGCAUGACCCCUUGGAAGUUUUACGUGCAAUCCUGAAUUUGCCGAACAGUGAUAAAGCUACAGUGUUGGCACUCCUCUAGACAUGGUGGACGACGAGAAAUGAAAUUCGAGCUGAAGGCCGGAAAGUGGAGUUAGAAAAGAUAGUGUGGCAAGUAAGAAGAUUGGCACAAAAGUUCAGAGAUUUCUUUGACAAGCCUAAGAAGAAAGAUAGUAACACCCAGACCCAUUGGUCACGUCCUGCCCCGGGAUGCCUAAAACUGAAUAUGGACGGGAGUUUCAACGUGGUCGAUGCUAGCGGUGGGUGGGGAUUUGUUGUAUGAGAUGAUGCUGGCGAUGUAGUGUUGUCUGCUGCAGGACGCAUUCUACAUGCACAAGACCCCCUCCAUACAGAAGCAUAAGCAUGCCGACAAGUCCCUGACACUGAUCCAAGAUUUUGGCAUCACUCAGAUUGCAGUUGAGACAGAUGUGUUGCUAUGAACAUGAUCUAGCUCCUAAUGGUGUGUUUUUUAGGGAGGUUAAAUCUAUUGCUAUGCUGCAGUUUAGUCACUUUACUAUCUCACAUUGCCUGAGGGCUUGUAAUAAUGUCGCAGACGCUCUAGCGUUGUUCGGGUCGAACAUGGAACAUGAGCCCCAAGCCGUAUGGCCGGGCCAUGUCCCUGCCUUUGCUCAAUGUUUCGUUGCCAGCGAUCGUGCUAAUGGAAUGAGAUUUCCAGUUUCAAAAAAAAAAGUUUCUAGGAAUAUGGAAUCUAUUGGAGAUGCUCUAAUAAAAAAAGUUUCUUGGUGUUAGAAGCUUCUUCAACAAACAUAUGCUAUCUAUGGAGAGCUAUUGUGUUAUAAAUAUUUCCCUCUUAGUGAUCCUUUACUGGCAUUGCAUAGGGGUUAGAGAACAUUUUUUAAAGCCUGAGAUAUUUUCCGGUCACAUGACAAAUUUAUCCUAGGGAAUGGUGGGCGAACAAAAUUUUGGCCCGCUUGGUGAUGUGGUGACUCUCUGCUGCAAGUUCGCGCUCUCGCCUACUUCGAUUAUUGUGAAAACCCCGAAUUUCUUGAUUGCUGAUGUAGCCAACACUAAAUGGAACAUCGCUGGACCCUUUCCAAGCAAGUGAUAUAUUGGCAAAGUCUUACUGUUGAGAUGCCUUAACCCGCGGGGAAGUCCAUCAAGUCAUCUGGCCCCAUUCAACGUUGGCCCAUGAGAUAUUUUUUCAUAUAUCUGUUGAUAAGCGAUCCAAAUAUCGGUCAAUCCUAUUCCCUGCUCGCAGUGGGAAAUACUUCAAUAUCGAUAUGAAGCCACCCCCUGCCUUGUGUUUGCUUAAUGGGCCGCCCAUGAUUUUUUGUGUUCUUUUUUACUAUUUUCUUUUGUAUAUUUUCUAUGUUAAGAAUCCAAGAAUAUUUUGAAAAUUAAUAAACAUCUUUUGAAUUUUAUGAACAAUUUCAUUUGUGGACAUAUUUCAAAAUUUAUGAACAUUUUGUUUUUGAAAUUUUAAACAUUUUAAAAUUCACUAACACUUCUAAAAAAUCAUAAACAAUUUUUAAAAUUUUCUUUUUUAUAAUUCGUGAACCUUUAAAAAAAUUGCAACCAAUUUUUUUUUGUAAAAUGACGUGAAAUUUUUAGAAAUAUGUAGAAAAAAUGUUUAAAGUCACGUGAACCUUUAAGUCAUGAAAUUGAUUUCUGCCCCCUUCUCCGAAGCACAUUCCCCACUGCUCAAGCCCCACCACAACCACCAUGAAGUCGCUGCAUUUGCAAAUGUACUACCAGGGCUAGAGCCUCUUGUCUUGCUUACAGUAUCACUAGAUGAAAGAUACCGUCCAAGACGACGUCAUACGCGCCCUGAGAUGCUCCUGCGUCUUCUCAGAUUAGCUUGGGCUAGGGGAAAGAAAGCUUCCAUCUAAAUUAAUCUUAGAACUUCAUUUUGAUUGAGUGACACAGUCCCUUUUGCCCCGCAAUAAAACCGAAUAUUUACUAACACAAGAAUAUGAAAAAAAUCCUAACAAAAAUUAAAAUAAAAAGCAUUUACCAAAAUUUUAAUUUGGUUAACUAAAUUUGAAUUUGGUUAUUUUUUUAAUUUCGUUACCUAAAUUUGAAUUUGGUGAUAAAUAUAAAUUUGGUGAAUGAAAAUUGGAUAGCUAAACUAGAUUUGAACUAGGUGAACUGUUUUGAAUUAGGGGAAUAAAAUUUUAUUUAGGUGAACUAAAUGUGAAUUGGGCGAACUAAAUUUGAAUUACGUGAACUAAAUAUAAAUUUGGUGAACUAAAUUUGAAUUCAUUGAGCUAAAUUUGAAUUAGAUGAGAAAUCUUUUCUUAGGUGAACUAAUUUUGAAUUCGGCGAACUAAAUUUAGUGAACUAAAAAUUAGCUGGACUAAUUUUGAAUUAGCUGAACUAGUAGAUAGUUGGAAAAAAGAUUAGUUCAGCAACUUCCAUAGGCAAAUAGAAAAAGCAUAGAGCAAGUUCAGGCCUACCACAGGAUUUUCCAUCUAGUGGCAGGUCUCAAUUUCGUGAACCUUUUUUUCAUAUGCAUUCCAUUUUUCGUUAUCAACUUCAUGGACUUUUCCCAAUUCCACAAACUUUUUCUGCAAAUUUUUAUUUUAUUUUUUGUGAACCUUUUCAUUUCAAAUCUAUGAACUUUUUCAAAAAAAAACAAAGUGUUUUUUUUCAUUUUUGCAAACUUUUCCUAGUGAUUUUUUUUUCAACUCGUGAAUUUUCUAUUAUUGUUGAUAAAUAAGAAAGUUUAGACCUGCCAUGGAAUUUAGCUCUCGUGGGCAAUCCCAUUUUCGUGACAACAAAAUCCUGUGGCAGGUCUGAACUGUGGCGCUGUGGAAGACUCAUUUUGGAGCUAAGAAUUUGAAAAAAGUUCACUAAAUUUUACUCAUAAUUUUGUUCAUCAAUUUGAACUAAAUUUUCCAUUUAUGUACUUGUCCACCUAAUUCACAAUUGUGAAUUUGGCAAACUAUAUUUUGAAUUAGGUGAACUAAUUUUCAAUGUCAGAUCUUUUGCAGUUGUUCAGUUAAUUGACUCUUACAACUUUGGCAAAUAAAACAAGCAUGGUCAUUUAAAAGGAAUGCCUGACAGUACAAUAUUUUGAUACGCAACACAGAAAGAACAGGAAAAAGGAUUUAAAACUAUGAUGACCAUAAUUAUGCGAAAUACAGUAGUACACAAUGAUGUACCAGUCUAUCACAGGUAUUAAUCAAGUUUCUGCAUGAGAGGACCUCCUCAUCUGUGCAGCACCCAUUUGUAGGGCGACAAAGCUAUGAAAUCUUGGAUUUCAGAUAGCGGCAUUCUUGAAUUCCAACUUGACAUAGUUGUGCUUUGUUCUGCACCAAAACAGAAUGGGGGCAAAGCUAAUACCUUACUGCACUUGUACCUUAUAAGGUAUCAAAAAAGCUGAAAGGAAGACAAAGAAAUUCCUACUCGCAGUUUAUCAAGUUUAACACGAUUUAUUUGCAGUUUUGCCUUUUCAUAUAAAAGCUUGCCAUGGAGCAAUUUUGCCUCAGCUAGUCUGGAAUCUUGAAUCCUCUGCGUUUAGAAAACGAACACAUCAGAUAAGUGGAAGUAAUUUUCCUAACAGCGACAGACAAUAUGACAACUAAUUAAUGAUAGCAUACCACAGCAGCAGAAAGCCUAAUAUAUGUACUAGCCACAUGAAUCUUCCUCAUCAUAUCUCCUAACGUAUCAAGCUUCAUUAAAACAAAACAAGAAAAAUAUAUAAGAUACAAUAAACUCAUGCUCCAUAGAACAUUUCCACAAGAUAUUUCAAAUGCUAGAUCAUUAGGUUGAACAAUAGAAUUAAACACACAAUAAGAAUAAAUCAUCUCGCAGAAAAAGGAAAUUCACAAAAGAGAUAUAGAGAACUAUAGAUUCUGAAGAUCAAUUAGUAACUGUACACAGACUCUGCCAAAAAUUGUUGGGGGAGGAAUUCACUCAGGACCACAACUUCCAGAUUUGUGAAUAGAAACAAACAUGUUUGGAACAAUCAAACGAUGUUUGAAGGAAUGGUGGUCAGAUGUAAUCCUAGAUUACUUUUUCACGCAACCUUGUGUUUAUUACAGAAGAUAAUGUUACCUCGAAACUCUUGAGAGUGAACUAUGUGGAGCCAAAGGCUUGAUCCUACAGAUCACAAUAAUAUAUUUGCUCAGCUAAAAUUGAAGGAAUAAUCAAGAUCAAGACAACACAAGUUGAGUAUGAGAUCGUGAUGCAAGAAGCUAUAGGACUAAUAAUUGUUUCCACAGUGCGCUAGAUUUUCAUCUAAAUAGUGUAAAGGGGUGCUAUGAAAGAAAUUAAUAAUCUAGCGUAAAACACGAAAAUUGGCAAUGGCUCCUAGGUACAUAUGCACCCAUUGUCUAAAUACACAUUUUGAAAAGUUGAAAAAUUCUCUACAAAAACCCCGCGUGUAUAUCCGGACAUUCUAUGUGCGUGCACAAAGUUUUCGGUGAAAAAGGAGGUUUUUUGUGGCUUGUGUAAAAAAGACAAUUUCUGAUGCUUCAUUACAACUAUUCAUUUUGCAUUUCUUUAUCUUUUUUACACAAGCCACAAAAAAACGUCGUUUUUCACCGAAACUUUGUGCAUGCACAUAGAAUGUCCGGAUAUACCCGCGGGAUUUUUGUUUCAAAAUUUUCAACUUUUCAAAAUGUGUAUUUAGACAAUAGGUGCAUAUGCACCUAGGAGCCAAAACACCGCUAAAACAGAGGAAACCUAGUAAAUGGGAAAAGUGACUUCAUUAUGUCGACUCGAGUAAGCGGAAAAGAAGAAGUGGGCCGAGCCCAACGCGAGGGCCCGUGUCCACCUGCAGCGUGACCUAGCUGCACCUCUCCCUCCAUAUAAAUCACCCCAUCUCGCCCAGCUCUCCCACCCCUUAGCCGCCGCCACAGCCUCCAGCUCCAAACCCUCAUCUCCCCCAUCCAAGCUCACUGCCCCCAACCCCCCACCCCCACCCAGCCAUGGCGGACCGCGGCGGCGAGCGUGGUGUCGGCGAGCGCGGCGGCGACCGCGGCGGCUUCGGGCGCGGCUUCGGCCGCGGCGGGCGCGGGGACCGUGGCGGGCGCCGCGGCGGCCGCCGUGGCCCCCGCCAGGAGGAGGAGAAGUGGGUGCCCGUCACCAAGCUCGGCCGCCUCGUCAAGGAGGGCCGCUUCACCAAGAUGGAGGAGAUCUACCUCCACUCGCUCCCCGUCAAGGAGCACCAGAUCGUGGAGACGCUCUGCCCGGGGCUCAAGGACGAGGUGAUGAAGAUCACCCCGGUCCAGAAGCAGACCCGCGCCGGACAGCGCACCCGCUUCAAGGCCUUCGUCGUCGUCGGCGACAGCAACGGCCACGUCGGCCUCGGCGUCAAGUGCGCCAAGGAGGUGGCCACGGCCAUCCGCGGCGCCAUCAUCCUCGCCAAGCUCUCAAUCGUGCCCGUCAGGCGGGGCUACUGGGGGAACAAGAUCGGCCAGCCCCACACCGUGCCCUGCAAGGUCACCGGCAAGUGCGGCUCCGUCACCGUGCGCAUGGUGCCCGCCCCCAGGGGUUCUGGAAUCGUCGCCGCCCGCGUCCCCAAGAAGGUGCUGCAGUUCGCCGGGAUCGAUGAUGUCUUCACUUCCUCGCGUGGAUCCACCAAGACCCUUGGCAACUUCGUCAAGGUAUAAACUUCCCCUGCCUUUAUCCAUGCUCUGCCAUGUUCCCGCCAUACUGCUACUUUACUGUCAGUACAUAAUGUUCAUUCCUUGUGUGUGCAUGGUUUGGAAUGUUUACUGCAAGAAGUGAUGCCUUUGGCAGCGUGUAAAAUAUUAUUUUUAUUAGAUUCAAGCCUGCAUAAUUUUGUUGGAAGGGGCGUAACUGGUUUACAGUCUGAUUCGUAUGAUUUAGUCUAGAUUCAGUUGGUCUGGAAAUUGUAGUUCUACUGUACUAGCCUAGUGUUGUUGACCAAACUUUAAUUUGUGCUUAGUACUUCAGGCUGGUCUUCAAUUGAUUGAUUGAAAAUGUGUCGCAACCUUUUUAAACAGUUCAGUUCAUUUUGUAUUACAAGCUUUUCAUGUUUUCAAUCUGUACAUGUAAUACAUUUUUGAGUUGCGGAAUCCUGGCUUGUGUCCUAAUACAUUUCGAGUUGUUCAUGUAUUAUAACCAUUUAGACAUUUCUGGUUGAGGGUCUAUUCUUGCAUAGUGAUGUAUCACUUCUCUUCUCUGUUUAUUUAUGCCUGCCAUGCUCUGUUUUAUUUCUCACGUUGGCAGUGGUGAGCUCAUAUCAAGUUGUGGUGAUGAUUUUUAUCAGGGUGAAUUUGUUCUUGUUUGCAUUGAAUAGUUGCAAACCUGAAGCUGACAAUUCUUUUAUUUCCAGGCAACCUUCGACUGCCUGAUGAAGACCUAUGGAUUCCUCACCCCUGACUUCUGGAGGGAGACAACCUUCACCAAGGCGCCGUACCAGGAGUUCACCGACAUCUUGGCGAAGCCGACCAAGGCCCUGAUGCUUGAUGCACCAGCCGAGAAGAUAGAAGCUUAGGAUGUUUGCCAUGAAAGGGUUUUUACUAGCUGGGAGCUGUCUGUUGCACUUUGCUUUAUUAUAGUCGAGAACAAGGUGUCUUUGAAUUGUGCUACUUGUGGAAGUCUCUGUUUGCUGUCAAAGUUUUGGAUUAUGGUGCAAUGCUACUCUCUGUUAUCGGCAAAGGAUGCUACAUAAUUAUGCCAAUCCAGUGUUAUUUGUCUAGAUGUUUGAUUUUUGGAUGCAGCUCCGCCUCGCCGUCGUCACCGACGCUCGACUGGUUGCAGCAAAAGAACACGCCAGUAGUAGCAAUUUUUGUUUGUGGAUGGUUCCAGCAAAAAGAUAUGCCGGACGUAGCAUUUAUGUAUGCUGAUUGUAACAUUUUUUGCCGUGGUUUGCAGCUCCGCCGCGUCGACUCUCGCAGCCGACUGGGCUGGUUCCAGCAAAAAGAUAUGCCGGACGAAGCAUUUUGGCGCGCCGGUCGGUAGCAUCUUUGCCCCGUGGAUGCAGCUUUGCCGUGUGCUGCCGCUGGUUGUAGCAGACUUCCCUGUGAUAGCAAAAAUCCUCGUGGAUGCAUUCAGCCAGCCGCCCCAUGGUUGUAGCUUGGUGUGCGAGCUCACACCAUGGCCGGCCUCGUCACAGCUUUGCCGUACUUGCAGUCCCAGCAAGUGCGGGAGCUGCACGCAGCACAUGAUGGCCGCCCCAUCGCAAAAACGAUAACAGCCGAACGCAUGGGGGUGUGGUCGCGCCGGGCACCAACAUCAGCGCGCGACGGCAUAUGUGUGGAGGCGCUCUAGCGGGGCAGGCGUUUGUGGGGCCGGAUUGGAGAGGGGGAGAGAACAAGGUGGGGUGAACGAAUGGUCGAGAACGCUUGGGGAAGAGGAAGGGGAUAAGGGAAAAAGGAAAGAGGGCGGCGUGUGGACAGGACGUGUGGACAGGACGCGACCGGCGCAGUUUCGGCCGGUCGACCGGAUACAAACAUUACCCCUACUUUGUGCAUUUGACAAAAUGUUCCAUAUGCUUGAUUGAAUGCUAAGUGAGUGUUCUAGUAAGCUACUUGUGCAACAGUGCAAGUGCAGAAUUGAACAGAACCGAAUUGAAUUUGAGCAUUUGCAUACUUCUGAACUAAACUAGAUGCCAAAUGUUAACUGAAAUUUUACUAAAGUGAAUGCAAUCGUUGCCCAGAACUGAACCCCAACAUAAGUGAUGGCAACUAGUGCCCAUAAUUCAACUGAACUGACCGGCGAAUUUGCCAAAACCAGGCUUGUUUACAUCCCGAUUCAAGUUAGAGUACAUGAUUGCCCAGAAAGAGUAGUAUUUCACCAGUGAUUGGUCCCUGUUCUAUCUCCCUUUGACGAAUGAAACUGCAGCGAUAUAUCACCUUGCUUGAGUUCUUCUGAAAAUGUUCUUUGAAUGCUCUCUGAAAAUGUUGUUACUUUUGCUUGCUGCUUUCCUUUUACUAGACUGCGCUGAAACAAUACUAGGAGUAGUAUAUUGUCAUAGUAUACCUCCAGAUUUAGGCAGAAGAAACAUGGUAAUUUCUGGUACUGUUCCUUAGAGUGCAUUUGCUCUAUACCUCAAAACAUGUAAAUGGUCAUUGCUUAUUAAUUAAGGAGCUAAACUUCAGUACCACAAAUUAGAUGACACUUGAUCAUUCUUCUUCUUGAGAAGCAACCAUAGCCCAAUAGAAUGACUUUAGGCUCUAGGAAAUAGAAUUAGUACCGGGGAAACAAGCUUCACGUUGUGUAGAAGGACCAAAUACUCAUACUAGUGACUCAGGCUUUUAAUUAGUCGUUGUAGAAUCAUUGUACUUGUACCAACGCCGCCUCCUCGACCGAGACUCCAUCUACUCCGUCGUCCCCUCCGCCACCUGAAGCAGGUAGCCAAUCUCGUCCUGUUGUUGUUAUGAUCUGCCUUGUUUAUAUUUUAUCUGCAAUUUACAUUGAUCUUGUUGCAAGAAAAACUAUGAAUGGAGAUGGUACCUAAUUAAGUUAAAUCCACAAUAUCCGUCCAACAUCAUACCUAAUUAAGCACAUGCAAUAUAUUCUCUUUGGGCUAUGGUUUAUCUGCAAUAUAUUCUCUUUCAGUACAUUAUGUGUCCAUGGUGAGGAAUGUUUGCUGCAAAUAAGAAAUAUAUUUAAUUAUUUAGUUAGGAGGUGUGGAGUGAGGAGCUCCUAAGUCUCUAGAACUCUAUCCAUAACCCUGCUCUCUGUUCCACAUUUCAUCUCAAUUUCCGUUGUUUUUGCAUUGGUACAUUUACAGUCGAUAUUAUUCUGCUCAUUAUCACUUAUUUUUAGUUAGUAUGAACACUUGUGGACUGUCUUACACACCGGUAAUGUUGGUACGGUACUAGCAGAGUCCAUUGGUCAACUAUGUAGUACCUAGUUGACUAUUUUUUCAUAAAGGAGCAACAUACUAUUUACGACCCAUUCCUAGCGAGAUACCAUGCUACUGCUUCUAGUUGGUUGUGAGGUAUGGAAUACUGAUUAAUUAAAUAAAAUAAGAUAAAAUUGCAAGACUUAGUCUGGUGUUUGUCACUUGAGUGCAAGUUGAACAAAAUUCUAAUAGGAUUCCUGUGGUAACUUUUGUGAAUACUUCAUUUGCCAACAUACGAGUCGAGCAGAUAGAAAAUACAUCUUGGCGAAGCCGACCAAGGCCCUGAUGAUGUCGUCGUAAAGGGUUUCACUAGCUGGGAGCUGUCUAAUGCUCUUUGCUUCAUUAUAGUUAAGAAUUUGAAUCGUGCUGCUUCAGAAUGUCUCUGUUUGCUGUCAAAUUUUGGAUUGUGCUACUAUGCUACUCUCUUUUAUCGUCAAUGGAUGCUACAUAAUUAUGGCAAUCACAGUCUUAUUUAUUUUAGAUGUUUGGCUUUUAUCUAUGCUUUGUGUUGUUGAUGUUCUCCUCUGCGUCCUUGUUUGUUUUGUUUCUUAUUCUGGUGCAUUGUAUUUGUGCAAAAUUCGACCUGAUAAUGAAUUACGUAUGAUUUCUGCUGUCACUGGCCUUUUGUAUGCUGGUUUGUUUAGUUUAGCUCAGGCUGGUGCCGUGCUUAUUAUCCAUCCGAUUCGACUUGCUGUUUUGUUUAGUUCAGGCUGGUGCCGCUUAUUAUUCAUCUGAUUCGACUUGCUGUUUUGUUUAGUUCAAGCUGGUGCCGUCCUUGGAUAUUAUUUGAUUAGUUUGCGAUUUUAAUCUACCUUUAGUUAUCCAUUAGUGGUUGCCGAGCUUUUCUCUGACAAUUGCCCAACACAGAAAUUCUAUUUUCUGACGCUGCAAGAGGCAACCGGAAGCUUCUCAGAGAAGCAUAAUUAAGCUCGGAGAAGGCGGUUUCGGAACUGUAUACAAGGUAAACAGACAAGCCUGGAGAAUACAGGGUAAAACUAUUUGCCGCACUCUGUUCUUCUACUGAAAAAAGAACCUCUGCUUCAGGGAAACCUUCCCAUGGACGUUUCUUUUCGCCUCCUAUCAAUGCAAAGGUACGCGCCAGGGUAUUCGCGGAAAAAGGAGGAGAUGCUACUAGUCUAUGAAUACAUCAGGAACGGGAGCUUCGACAACUUCCUUUUUGUAGAUGCUAGUCGAAGAAAUACGCUAAACUGGGAUGAAGAAUACAACAUCAUUCUCGGAAUUGCCAAGGGAAUAAUGUAUCUUCACGAGUGUAAGAAUCAUCCACCGAGACUUGAAAGCCAACAACAUUCUGUUUGUUGAUGCCAUGGAUCCGAAGAUUGCAGACUUCGGGUUAGCUAGGCUGCAAGUAGGAGGCCAUACAAACUCAAACCAUGACAGCUAGAGUUGUUGGAACAUACAGUAGUAAGCAACUGCAUACAAAAGGGCUUCCGUACAUUGCAGGUAUCAAGACGUGUGUUUCUAUGCCUAACUGAUCUAUGCAAUACACGGAAACGUGUCGCCAAAGAUCGACAUUUUCAGCUUUGGUGUCUUGGUGCUUGCUGAAAUUGUAACCAAGAGGAGGAACUGCGGUUCAGAUGAUUGCGAGACGGACACGGUGAGUCUCCCAAGUGAUGUAUGGACUUGUUGGACCAAAGGGACGACAUCGCAGAUGAUUGAUGAAUCACUCGAAGGACACCCGCGAAUCCAGGCGCUGAGAUGUAUGUAUCCACAUCGGGUUGCUGUGCCUGUCGUCCAAGCAGACCCUGACGACAGGCCUGACAUCCCAUCCAUCAUCCUCAUGCUGAACAGGGACGACAUGGAGCCUGUGGCUUAGUAUGUGAGGGUCCGUAACCAAUUUUCUUUUCUUUUAGAGAGUGUUGAGUAUACGAGGCUCAAGCAAUACAAUCAACGAUUCCAUCAAUCUCUCUAUUCCCUUUUAACAGAGAGCACGCAAAUUGCGUGCCUACGCUUUCUAGAAGGAGCUCUUUUACGGUACCGCUAAAUGAAUGUGAGCCAUCCAUCCAUCUUAAUCUGACGGCUAAUCAUACAUGGUACUCCAAUACAGAUCCUAGGGAGUACCAUCUCAAAAAAAAUAUGGAGUACCUUGAUGUUAGGGGUAAUACCGUAUGGAUGGAUGGCUCACGUUCAUUUAGCGGUACCGUAAAAGAGCUCUCAUGGGUGAUUUAUUUAUUUCUCAAUCAUAUAUCAAUUUAUUACAGAAAUACUAAAUAGAAUGAGAUUCCAAUUUAGUACGAACUUGCUUCUAAGGGUGUGAACGCAGACUUCAAACAAAAAUUUGUCAUGGACCCUAAUCCCAAAUCAAUAUCAUUCGCAAGAAGAAAAAUCUCAAAAUCGAGAUGAUGAUCAUGCGUGGCGGGGCAUGUUGAUCACAGGGUCAUCACCACUGAGGGGAUUAGGAUUAGGCCACAUCAGUUCACAAUCCAGGUUAUGCACCCGUGAUGUGCAUAUCAAUGGCCGCCACCGGUAGUUGCGCCUACGCGAAUUGGUCGGGGGAUGACACCGCCAUGGGAUACUGGCGCAUCAUGGAUGUAUGAGGAGGAGCACAGUCCUCCUGCAGCGCCUUAGUUCUAUUAAUCUGUAAUUAACAAGAAUUCACGGAUGGCUACAAGACGAAGUCUCCAGCCGCUACCACGAUGGGGGAACAAACAGUGCGAUCGCUGCGGCCUGAUGCGGUUGAUUCGGUUGGAAUAAAAGUCAAAACGAAUAAGACAAAAGUUCUAAAAUACCCCUGAAGAUGGAUGGUUGGAUUUAUCCGGCACUCCCUCCUCUCCCUAGGGAGUACCAGGGUACUGUAAAAACUCUCUUCUAGAAGAUAGAGGGUCUGUAACCAAUUGAAUUGGGAUAAGCAUAAAAGAAGUGACUAGAAUUCUGAUGGCGCCUUCCUCUCAGUCUCCCAUCCUUCCUCUGGUGGUCUGUUCCUCACCUACCCUUCUCCGUGCCUUCCCGGUCCUCUUUCUUGCCGAUCGCGAUCGGGUCGUCACAAUUGGAUACCAGGUACUUCAAAUUGGCCCCAAAAUUUGCUUUCGCUGUUUGCUCCUCAAUUCUCUCGGCAAGAAUCUAUAUUGAUGAAUAGAAGAAUACAAUUUGUAGAUUGCAUUUGAGAAACCAAGUCUUGACAGAGUAGCUUCAUGUAUUGCUUGAGUGUUUCAAGAGGGUCUUCGGGGCUUUACAUAGGCUGACCUUCGCCAACAAGUUUUCGAUCUUUUUUUUUUCGAAUAAAAUACUUUCAUUACUUAAAAGGAGACCUCACAGUCAAGUUUACAAAUUUCAACCACCUCCUCUGGUGCACACCGUAUCCAAACAGCAGUUUUUGGGAGCGUGUACGACCCAUUUGAGCAAGUACAUGGCUCGCUUUGUUCUGGUCACGUUUGAUGGACGUGAUUUUAUGCUGCCUGCUAGCCAGUAGAUGCCUGACUUCACUCACCAUUGCUGCCAUAGGUGAUCUGUCCAGAGAGGAAUCAGUAACCAUAUGCGCUGCAACAGCACAGUCCGUUUCCACGAUGAUACUCUCAGAACUCCGUUCGAUAGCCAGGGAAACCCCUUCCGUGAGCGCUGCAACUUCUGCUUCGAGACCACUUCUGUAUCUCUGAAUAAAACGACAUGAGGUAAAGAUAAUGGCACCUCUGUGGUCACGCAGAAUCAUUCCAGCUCCUCCAGUACCCUCCUCCUCCAUCCAUGAUCCAUCAAUAUUAAGUUUAACCCAGCCUAGAGGUGGCUUGCUCCAGCUCGCCAUGGACCUUGGCCUCUCUGUUGGUGUUUUAUUCAGUUUGCCCUUUCUAUCGCAGCCGCUGUGUGAGACCACCUCCUUCCCUUAGCAACAUCAGCAUUUGGGUUCUGCUGGAUGUUCAGAAGAGUUUCGAUGUAGCCACCUAAGAAUUUGGUAGAAGCUUCUACCGGCGGCGCCGGUUUGUGGUGGUAUAUCUCAUUCCUCACAUGCCAGUUCCGCCAUAAAGUCAUGAUCACAGAAAGGCGUUCUUCAGGGCUGCAACCAUCGAGCAGAUGAAUGAUCCAUUCGGGACCUGUGUUGGUGAUGGCUUCUAGCAUGGGUAUGCUCCAUGUUUGUGCCAUCGCCCUCCACAGACACCUCGCCCGUGGACAGCUGCACAGGGCGUGGAAAGAGUCCUAGCGUUCCAACCCACAUAAAGCACACGUGUCAGAGACCUCAAGUUUACGUUUACAUUUAUUGUCAAGUGUAGCCAAAGAAUUUGUCGCAACCCUCCAUGCAAAGACUCGUACCUUCGGGGGAGCAGGGGCACCCCCACACUGCCUUCCAGACGGCACGAGUGCCGUCCGGUGCCCUGCUAGUGGCGCACGUGGUGGUGCUGGUCCGCUCCUCUAGAGCGGUCUUGUAGGCGCUUCGUACGCUGAAUAUACCUCGCGAGUCUGGAGCCCAUGCUAGGACGUCGUCCAGCCGCCGUGGGCUGGCUUUGAUCGCCAAAAUACGUUCAACAUCUGGUGCAGAGAAAUGUUACUGAAGUAGUUCCACACGCCAUCGACCAUUGCCAUCAAGGAGUUCGGAUACCCGCCGUAUCCGGCAGGUACCUCGAGGAGUAAUCGGCCUGUAUGUCGUGGGGCGUGGGAUCCAUGGGUCUCUCCACACCCGGAUCCGCUCGCCAUUUCCCACUCGUCAAAUGAGCCCUUUGUUGAGCAGCUCGAGUCCAUGCUGAAUGGCGUGCCACGUCGGUGACGCGUUGCCUGAAAAAACUGUGUCCUUAAGAGAGCCAUUCGGGUAAUAUUUUGCUUUUAGCACUUGUGCACACAAGGACUCCGGCUUGAUCAGCAGGCGCCACGCUUGUCUUGCUAGUAGAGCUUGGUUAAAAAGACGAAAAUCUCGGAAACCAAUGCCCCCCUUCCCUUUUGGCUCAAGCAAUUUCUCCCAUGCAAGCCAAUGAGUCUUUCUUUGUCCCUGUUUUGAUCCCCACCAGAAAUUCCGUACUAGUCGGGUGAGAUCAUCACACACAGAACAAGGUAACUUAAAUACCCCCAUGAUAUAUGUAGGGAUGGCCUGCAAAACUGACUUGAUCAAUGUUUCUUUUCCUGCCUGCGAAAGAGAGUCUCCCCACACCAUGAUUCUUUUAGUCAAACUUGCCUGUAACAUCUGGAUUUUCCCUUGUGCAUACGACCAUCCGGAGUGGGUAGGCACCUGUUUGAUUUCAUCCUGUAUCGCCAUGGGGCAGCUAUCACCAAAGUGAAUGGAACAUUUAUGAGGGUUUAUGAGUUGACCAGUGGCUCUAGCAUACCGAUGGAGGACAUCUUUCACGAAGAUGGCCUGAUUAGCAUUAGCUUUGAAGAACAACAAAGUAUCAUCCGCAAAAAGUAGGUGUGAUAUUCCGGGUGCUCUGCUACAAGUCCUGACCGGAUGGAGCGCCUGUGACUGUACUCCUUGUCUCAACAGCCACUAGUAGAAAAAGGGUCAUCUGUCCCGGUUGGUAAGGGCCUUUUGUCCCGGUUUUUGAACCGGGACUAAAGGGUCGUUACUAAUGCCCUAGCCCUUUAGUCCCGGUUCUUACACGAACCGGGACAGAUGGGCCUCCACGUGGCCGGUGCGGCGAGCCCAGGCAGGAGGGCCUUUGGUCCCGGUUGGUGGUACUAACCGGGACCAAUAGGCAUCAACGCGUCAGCAUUUCAGGGGCUGGGGUUUUUNNNNNNNNNNNNNNNNNNNNNNNNNNNNNNNNNNNNNNNNNNNNNNNNNNNNNNNNNNNNNNNNNNNNNNNNNNNNNNNNNNNNNNNNNNNNNNNNNNNNNNNNNNNNNNNNNNNNNNNNNNNNNNNNNNNNNNNNNNNNNNNNNNNNNNNNNNNNNNNNNNNNNNNNNNNNNNNNNNNNNNNNNNNNNNNNNNNNNNNNNNNNNNNNNNNNNNNNNNNNNNNNNNNNNNNNNNNNNNNNNNNNNNNNNNNNNNNNNNNNNNNNNNNNNNNNNNNNNNNNNNNNNNNNNNNNNNUUUGGGGGGUUAAUUUAGGUGUUUCAUAUAUUGUGUUAGCUAGCUAAUUAAUAGAGGGAAGUGUCCUCUCUUAUCUCCGUGCUUGGUCGAUGCUACGUACUAUAUACGUAUAGAGAGGACUAGACACGCUAGCUAGUAAGCAAAUGAAGGAAACAGAAGAUCGUCAUGAACAUAUGCAUACAGAGAGAAGUGAUAUCGACCACCUCUCCUUCUCCGAGAGAUUGGUCGAACAACAAGUUCUCGUAUAUCUAUCCGACACUACCAGCUACAUAUAUACAAUAAUUAUCUCUUACAAUAUAAUCUCCUAAUUAAAUUCUAAGCACACAGGGUCCACAUAGUAUGCUCCGUUUUCAGCGAUCACUGGUCAAGGAAGAAUGCCGCCAAUUCCUCUUGAAUUGCUUGCAUACGAUCUUCUGGUAGGAGUUCAUCCCGCAUCCGAAAGAUCUAAUUUGAAGAAGGGGUCAAUACAUAUAUAUAUAUAUAUAUGAAUAAAUGAAACUCAACACAAAUGAUGGUAAUAAAAUAAAAUUGUGAAUAUUAUUGCUUACGCACUUCAUAUUGUUCGUCAGAGUAGCCCCGCUCACAGGUCGUGUAGCGGAUGGACUCGCAAACGUAGUAUCCACAGUAAUUAUUCCCGGGUUCCUGCCACAACCACUUUACAAGAAAUAGAGGUCAAUCAAACUGAUAAGCAAGCAUGCUAAAUGGUAUUGAUGAAACUAGCGCUUGAAUCACUAGGAGAUGCGCGGAACAUGCUAUUAUAGUACUUACUUUCGGGUGAAAUUGCAGCUUCUUCGGCAGUCCCGGAGCUUUUUUGGUGAAUUUUCUCCAAACCCUGCCAGACAAAGAAAACAAUUACUUGAUAUCAGGAAAUGAACAAAGUUGCUGAUAUGGUGGAUAAUGAUCGAUUUAACUUACUUCUCGAGCAUUUGAGUCAUGUCCGCAUAGUCCUGGGGAUCUUUUCGUCUCGAGUCUAAGACGGUUACUAGUCCCUGCUCAAGCUUAAUCUCUAGGAGAAUAUAGUGGAAGCUGCACAUGCAUGCAUAAGCCAUCAAUUACAUUACUAUCACCUGGACUAAUAAGGGAAACCGAAUAUGCACAAGACAGUAACACUCACUUGAAGUUGUAAGGAAAGAGUAUUAUAUCUUUGUUUUUAUUUAUUACCAACGAUCGUAGCAAGUUGGCCUUGGUAUUUUCGGCAUGAUAUUUAACCUCAGUUGCAUCUAUGAGAUUUGUGUUAAUGAAUCCAAUAUUACCGAUUUGUCUUUUCUUCAAUUCGGCGAUCUUCAAUCUGCAUAAUAUAGUGAGGAUAAUUAUAAAUACAUGCAAUGAAAGAGCUGACCUAUAUAGAGAGACUUAAUGACAAAAGUAGUACUACUUACAGACAGUAGCAAGUGAUCGUUGAUUUAUCGAGGGCCUUUUGAUUGAAAAACUAGAAGAACUCCUCAAAUGGAACAUUCAACAAUUCAGUUCCAACGAGGUCAUGCUCCUCUUUAACUCUCAGCGUCAAAGUAUUCCCCCCCAGACUCUCUGCAGGUUUUCAUGUACCAAUCAUGUAAUCUUCGCAUCAUCGUUGUUAGAGAUCUUUCAUCUUUGACGAGAGGCUUCCCGUAAUGGUAUUUGUGUUCGUCCACCUCCAAGAAAUCAUAAUGUACAUCGUCGGGCAGGUAAUCUCCAAGAUUGCUAUAACCGGGCACCAUCCUCGGAGCAUUAGCGACGAUGUCGCUAGACACGUUGAGCGGGGGACACGAUUGGUUCGCUUGUUCGCCGAGGUGGGCAAUUUUUUUCCCAACUCGUCGUUCUUUUAACCUUUGAUCACUGACAGUACUUCCCGACCGCUCCGCUCCGCUUCUUAUUUAUUUCUCCUCUUCUUCCUCUCCUCUUCUUCUCCUUUCUUCCUCUUCUUAUUUUCCUUUUUCCUCUCAUUCUUUUUCUUCUUAUUUUCCUUUUUCCUCUCAUUCUUUUUCUUCUUCUUCCUUUCCUAGCUAGAUAUAUAAAACUUUUCUAAAAAUGUAACUUUUGCAUAUAUACAUGGAAAAAAAUGUUAUCGGGGAGGGGGUAUAUCGACCCCCCCCUCUCGACCCUCUUUUCCUUCUUCUUCCUUCUUCCUUCUUCCUCUUUUCUUCUCCAACACAAAACACAUCUCAUCUCAUCUCAUUUCAUCCAAAAAUAAUUCUUUGCAUAUGAACAUACAUACAUUUACUUUUUUUCUUAAAUGUUGCAUAUGAACAUUUUCUUAAAUGAGCAUAUACAGCAUAUACAGAGCAUUAUACAGUGAACAUACAUACAUCGUAACAAAAAAAGUAAUGAAAAAUAGGCCGGUGGUCGGCGACGGCGACGAUGGUUGGCGGUGGCGCGCGCUUAAGGAUGGCGUGCGGGGACGGCAAUGAGAAGGAAAGGGGAGGAGGCAGGGGCUCACAGCGCGGGGAGGGGUCGAGGUCGCCGGCCGGAAUCGGUGCGGCGGCGGACGAACGGCCUCGGGGAUGAACGGGUCGCGGGAGCCGGCGUGGUGCUUUCCCGCAGCGACGGCGACGACGGGCGCGGGCGACGGCGACGACGGGCGCGGGCGACGACGAUGGCGUCNNNNNNNNNNNNNNNNNNNNNNNNNNNNNNNNNNNNNNNNNNNNNNNNNNNNNNNNNNNNNNNNNNNNNNNNNNNNNNNNNNNNNNNNNNNNNNNNNNNNNNNNNNNNNNNNNNNNNNNNNNNNNNNNNNNNNNNNNNNNNNNNNNNNNNNNNNNNNNNNNNNNNNNNNNNNNNNNNNNNNNNNNNNNNNNNNNNNNNNNNNNNNNNNNNNNNNNNNNNNNNNNNNNNNNNNNNNNNNNNNNNNNNNNNNNNNNNNNNNNNNNNNNNNNNNNNNNNNNNNNNNNNNNNNNNNNNNNNNNNNNNNNNNNNNNNNNNNNNNNNNNNNNNNNNNNNNNNNNNNNNNNNNNNNNNNGCGGACGACGUCGAUUUGGGUAGCCUGGCGGCGUCGAUGAGCUCGACGUCGUCGGGGCAACUGGCGAUGAGUUCGUCAAAUUUUCCUAAGUGCUACUUAUAUACCCAGGCCUUUGGUCCCGGUUCAUAGCACCAACCGGGACCAAAGACACCCUUUAGUCCCGGUUGGUGCCACCAACCGGGACCAAAGGCCUCUUUUCAGCAGCCCAAAGGGCGGGAAGCGGCGGCCUUUGGUCCCGGUUGGGGGGCAUUGGUCCCGGUUGGUGCCACCAACCGGGACCAAAGGCCCCCUUUAGUCCCGGUUGGUGCCACCAACGGGGACGGAAAGCCUUGCACAGCGGCGUGGUGGUGGGAGUUUAGUCCCACCUCGCUAGCUGAGAGAGAGCCGCACCUGUUUAUAAGGUGCGGUGCGCCUGAGCUGUCGAGCUCCUCUCUAAAGCAGGCUUACGGGCCUAACCUCUCUGUACAUGCCUGUGGGCCUACUGGGCCUUCUGCGGGCCUGAAUCCUGGCCCAUGGAUGGGUUUCUAGUCGUAUCCAGGCCGUGGUGGCCCAGUAGGUGGCAUAAUUUUUAUUUUUUGCCUGUUUUUUUGUUUUCUUUUUUUGCUUUAUUUAUUUUGUUUUGUUUCUACUUACAACAAAAAACUUAUUUAUCUUAUUUUAUUUUGUUUCUAAUUACUUAUUUAUUUUACUUUAUGAUAAUUCUUUUUGCCAUUAAAGUUUCUAACAAAAAAAGUUCUUUAUGAAAAUUCUUUUUGCUUUCAAUGAUUUUGAACAGAAAAUACUUCGAUAAUUUUAGUUGCAUCAAUUUUAUAUAAUUUUAGUUUCAAUAAUACUAGAGGUUGCUUAUAAUGUUUUGAACAGAAAAUACUUUGAUGAUUUUAGUUUCAUAAAUUUUANNNNNNNNNNNNNNNNNNNNNNNNNNNNNNNNNNNNNNNNNNNNNNNNNNNNNNNNNNNNNNNNNNNNNNNNNNNNNNNNNNNNNNNNNNNNNNNNNNNNNNUUGCUUAUAAUGUUUUGAAUAGAAAAUACUUUGAUAAUUUUAGUUUCAUAAAUUUUAUUUAUGUUAUUAAAGUUUAUUUUAUUUUGUUUCUACUUAUAUAUUUUAUUAAAGUUUAUAUUAUUUUGUUUCUAAUUACUUAUUUAUUUUAUUUGUUAUUUUUCAUGCACCAUUUUUCAUGCAUUUACUGAUUAUUUUGAGCUAUAAGACCCUAAAAUUGAAAAGCAUUUCAAAUGAACUUUGAAAAGGUUGAAAGUUGGCAUGGUAUCAUCAUUCCAUCCACAUAGCAUGUGCAAGAAAGUUGAGAGGGUUACGGCAAAAACUGGAUGCACUUCGUGUACAAAAUGGACAAUCUCUUUUGAAGUAUCAGGAUUUCAUACGGAAACUCGUCUGUUACAAAGGGAUUUCAUUUUUUAAAACUUAUUUGAACUCUUGACUUUGUGUGUGUCCAAAAUGCACCAUUAAAAGCCACAUCAUCAAUUUUCAACCCUUUCUGACUUCAUUUGUUAUUUUCAUGCAUUUAUUGAUUAUUUUGAGCUAUAAGACCCUGAAAUUGAAAAGCAUUUCAAAUGAACUCUGAAAAGGUUGAAAGUUGGCAUGGUAUCAUCAUUUCAUCCACAUAGCAUGUGCAAGAAAGUUGAGAAGGUUACGGCAAAAACUGGAUGCACUUCGUGUACAAAACGGACAAUGGUAUCAUACUCGUGUGUUACAAAGUUGGCAUGGUAUCAUCAUAAUAGUUGCGGGAGAAAGUCUUCACUUUUUCUUCGCUUGUGUCAUUUGCUUAUUGCGCCGUAACCAUGGAUAAUCUUCAUCGUUUAUCAGGAUGCUUGGGUCAGCCUUGACUUUGAAGGGAGGAAUUUCAUGAAACUUUUCAUAAUCUUCAGACAUGUCUGUCUUGCCCUCCACUCCCACAAUGUCCCUUUUUCCUGAAAGAACUAUGUGGCGCUUUGGCUCAUCGUAUGAUGUAUUCGCUUCCUUAUCUUUUCUUUUUCUCGGUCUGGUAGACAUGUCCUUCACAUAGAUAACCUGUGCCACAUCAUUGGCUAGGACGAACGGUUCGUCAGUGUACCCAAGAUUGUUCAGAUCCACUGUUGUCAUUCCGUACUGUGGGUCUACCUGUACCCCGCCUCCUGACAGAUUGACCCAUUUGCACUUAAACAAAGGGACCUUAAAAUCAUGUCCGUAGUCAAGUUCCCAUAUGUCCAUUAUGUUAUCAUAAUAUGUGUCCUUUCCGUUCUCGGUUGCUGCAUCAAAGCGGACACCGCUGUUUUGGUUGGUGCUCUUUUGAUCUUGGUCGAUCGUGUAAAAUGUAUUUCCAUUUAUCUCGUAUCCUUUGUAAGUCAAUACAGUCGAAGAUGGUCCCCUGGACAACGAGUACAACUCAUCACAAACAGUGGUGUCACCUCUGAGACGUGUUUCCAACCAACUGCUGAAAGUCCUGAUGUGUUCACAUGUAAUCCAGUCGUCACACUGCUCCGGGUGUUUGGAGCGCAGACUGUUCUUGUGUUCAUCGACAUACGGGCUCACUAAGGUAGAGUUCUGUAGAACUGUGUAGUGUGCUUGAGACUAAGAAUGCCCGUCCUUGCAUAUUAUUGAGUCCGCUCCUAGCACUACAAAAAAAAAAUACACUUCCGUGAUGAUACGUGUUUGUCACAGUAGGUCGCGUUUUUUGUCAUGCAUGUACAUCCAUGACAAAUUUAUGACAGAAUCAAG